RNAcentral lists this long non-coding RNA (60167 nucleotides) under Citrus x clementina. RNAcentral's name for it is "Citrus clementina (C. clementina) long non-coding RNA (CCLE_LNC006435)". Lineage: Eukaryota; Viridiplantae; Streptophyta; Magnoliopsida; Sapindales; Rutaceae. The record is from RNAcentral.
GAAGGGAGCGGCCUUUUGAUCCAAAGACAGCAAGUCUAGAGGACUCGGAAUUCAUCGUUAACAUAAAAGUGCCUCUUUUCGACGUUGUUCCUCCGAUUCUUGAUUCAAUUUUUCGUUCUGCUUGAUAACUUCAAAGGACACGGUUGGUCUGUUCAUUAUGCUAACUAUAGCUGCCUAUAAAUAAGAGGGUUGACCUCAAUUGUGUGAGUGAAAGAACUGCUAUACUUAUGUUCCUUCCUGUAAUAACGAAAGCCUCUUAAUUCAGUGUCUCUACUUCUUCAGCAAAAUAAAAAUAAAUUCUUGAUCGAAAUACACCCAACUUUUCUAUUUUUCUUAUAAAAAUGACACCACGAUAGGAUGGGAUUGUCCUUGUGUUGUGUCAUUGAUCUAUCCAUAUUUGUUUUUCCCAAAAACAAUUUCCAUGAAGGAGGAUGUUUUGCUGCUUGUUAGUGCACGCUAUUUAAGCACAAGACAUGAUUGAGAUUUAUGCAAGGUAUGUGGUAGAAUUUAUGUAAGACGACCGAUGAUUCAUAAGGAAAGCUAAACAUGAGGGCUAAUAACUUUUACUAUGGUGAUCAACGCGUUGAAGAAAAUUUUUAGAAUUUUUAUUAUAAGUGGUGCAUACAAAAGUUGGUGAGUCGAACUUGUACUCAAAUACUAGCUCAUGUAUUAGGAGUUGCCUUAGGCUUACGUUAUUAAUCUAGUAACUAAUAUUAGCGAUAUGAAACAUUUUUUCUAUCAUCUUCCAUCACAUGUGUGUAGGUCAAUAUUUUUGUUUGGUCCUUGUCUAGUGAUAAGAUAAUGUGAGUGAUUUUGAGAGAAAAUAUGAAAAACACAAACUAUGAAAAUUCCCUUUUACUUAAACUAUGACAGAUUUGUUUACACUGAAGUUGAUAGAAGACAAUCGAAUGCGCAGGAGUGAAAUCUUGACAAAUUAAAGCGAGAACUAAGACAUGCUAGUCCUUUCUCGCGCAUUUAGUUGGCAUUAUUUUGCGUUGCAAAUAAAUGCGGGCACGGUUGAAGGCAUUUUAUCUUUCCGGAAGUGGAUGGAGAAAUAAAUAUAAUUAAAAGGGAUGCGAAUAAUAAAUGCAAUUUUUUCUUAAUAACGAAGAAUAUAUUAGAAAUAAAUUGAAAUGUAACAAAAUACUUGAAAUAAUUCAAUUGAUGGGUUUUUUCUUUGUCAAUAACGCCCGAUAGUUCCUUGUCAUGAGCUUCUUAUCUUCUGUCUUGAAGGAAGAAAUUACGAAAGACAAAUAAAACGAUUUCCUUUACACAUUCAAUCAAUGCUGCUCAUCCAUAAGUUUCCCAUUUAAUAAUAAUAAUAAUACAAUACAGAUAGCUCAACAGCACCAACCAAAACUUCACCACCAGUCACGGUGAAAUGUGAGAUGCAUGCGCUGAUUUUUAUUUUUAUUUUAAUUUUUAUAAUUACUGAUCGAAUAACAUUCUUUUGUUUAAUUAUUUGUUUUGAAUAAACUAGAGAAUGACAUUUAAAAUAUCAAAUAUUAAAUUUAAUGAUUUGUUGAGAGUGGUAAGAGUAUCUUCGCAUAAAAACUAAAAGUUAGUUGGUUAGCUAGUUAUAAUAGAAAAAAAUUAAGGGACCAAUUUGAAAUAUUUGAGCUAGUUAUAUAAAUUUCCCAUAGAUUUUCACGUACCGUUAGUUUUAAGAAUUCAACUUUGACAUGAUUAUGAAUUCCAAAAAUUGAUUAAGAAGAAAGACAGAAACUUUAGCAAUGAUGCUGAAUCAAUCAUUCAUUUUAUUUAAAUUAUGACUGGUAAUGUUUGGGGUUGACGACGCCUCACCAACUGUCAGGCAAUUAUCGUUUCCAAAAGUUUUCCAGAUUCAGCCUGAAAAUUUAACGGGUGUAAAAAAAUAAUUGAGGAUGAGUCUUUCUUUGUUAUUAUAUCAAUUGUUUUAUAAUUUUAAGAAGAUGAAUCAGCAUUGUAAGCCAUCAUUUUCAUUUAUAAUAAAGUUAAUAUACAAAAUGACCGGUGAGGUACCACCAUACCGGGCGGUGCAUGGAAAGAUGGGGAAUUUGGGACUUCCAGUGCGGCGAGAGACUGAGCAUGAGGGUGCUGCAGCGGCUGGGCAUCACUUAUGAGGUGGCUACUUAAUGACCUGAUCAGUUGAGUUUUGGAGAAUUUGGAUUUUGGAUCAAUUAGUUAGGGAGUUGAGUGAGUUUUGUAACUUUAAGAAAAUAGAAUUUGACUGUAAUUAUUAGUUAUAUCUUUAUUUUUUUACGAUAAGUUUUAAUAAGAGUAAAUUUACAAUUAACUAUUAUUAUUUUUUUAAAAAAAAAACCUUAGCCUCCUCUUACCUCCGCCCUUGGUACCUGCUAAAACCAAAUACCCAAAUUAUGAAAACGAAGAGCGAGACGAUAUGUUACUGGAUUGUUAUCAAAAUUUGAAGCUAGAACUUAGCAAUUGCCCAAAGAUAAAGAUUUGCUAAGAUUUUAAGACCCACAGACUUUUUAGUACCAAUUUAUCUUCGUUCCUUCAAGAAUGAUGGUGAUUUGUAGAGCCAUGCCCUGUAUUCAAAAUAAACAAAUUUGAAGAAUAUAUCUGUUGAUUCUGGUAGGGCAGGAGUCUCAUGCACAAGUUUCUCAUCUAUUUUCUUACCAGAACAAAUUUCUAGUCAAAAUGAGGGCGUGAAAGGAAGAUAAAUAGACGAAAUUUGGCCCACCACUUCCUAAAUGAAUAGCUUUUUACCGUAUUAAACGAGGAAAAAUGGAUUAGAUUCUCCCUUAAUUUGAUCUGAUUAGUGAUUACUAAAUAAAGACCACAGACUUUAUUGUAGUGUGUUUCGUCAUUUAAUACAUUGAAGUUUGUAUGUGGCCCCAGUUUUAGAUCACUUAAUUGGAAAGGCACUUCCUUAAUUAUUUUUCAAAAGCACAUCCUAUAAGACUCCAACAGAUGGAGUCCAAGUUCUAGAAUAGAUGAAUAAAUGAUGUCAAUUAAAUGGCAAUAGCCCACCAAAGAAGACAAAGAAAACAAGUUAGGAGAGAUUUUACGGUAUACCAAAAGUACUACACUUAAUUAAUACAUAUACGCUAUAUGUGUAUUUAUUUUUAAAAAAUUAUCAUGUAAUUAAUAGUUAUAUUUAAUUAAACUAUACAUAUCAUACAUGUAUUAGUUAUAUGUAGCACCUAUAUUAUACUCUAGAAUUUCUCACAAGAUAAUAUGUCAAUAUACCACAAACACAAAGUUUGAAUCCUGUGAAAUAUGUUUAAAAUUGACUCUUGUAGAAAUUAUUAUGUGGUGGUGAAAUGAUUAUGAUAAAUAAUAUAUUAACACAUGUCAAUAUAUAAUUAUGCUACAUCAAUGAGGGUACCAUUGGUUUCACAUUUUUAUUUUACGUCUUAACUUUUGUAUUGACAAUAUUAGUUUUGUAUUUUAUACACAUAUAUAUAACUAGUAAGUUAUUUUUUGCAAUCAAUAAAUAUCUAAUAACUCAAUACUUUUAUAUUUAUGCUCAUAAAAUUUUUACUUUUUAAAUAAAUAUUAAAAUAUCUUAAAAAUAAUAAGUUAUAUUUUUUUAACACUAAUUAAAACAAAUAAUUUUCACAUUUAAUCUUGUUUUAGUUAAUAACAUGGACCAUUCGCUCACCACUUGGCAUAACUUUGUAACCUAGGUCCUGUUUGGAAUCGAAGUAUUAUACCUUUUAAGUUACAACUGUCGUAAAAAUUUUGUAAUUAUAAAACAAAAAAUUAAUAGCUGUGAACUUAAUGAUUGCUUACUAAACUUUAGGUAUUUAUUUAUUUAAUUAAUUGUCUAAAAUUUACUUGUUAAUGUUAUUGACAAUACUUAUGUAUUGAUUAAAAAGAUGAAGUAAGGUAUUGAUCUUAUUGAUCAACAGAAAUAUUUUAUACUAGAUUGACAUAUUUGUGUAUUUAUUUUAAUGUUAAAACUUUAAUUUCUCAUUUAUACUGAUAAAAUUUAGAAAUGGGUAUUAUAUGUAGAUUUUUAAGCUCCUAUUAUAAAUUUAUAGUUCGACUUAUAUAAUUUAAUUUAUUUUUUGUGUUUUUAAAAGUAUUGUUUUAAUAUUUGGGAAGUAAAAAUCCAUUGCAGGUUACGCGAGGAUUUAGAAACCUACAGCAGGUGAAUUUUUUUUAAAAAUAAAAAACCCAUAGCGAGUUAAGAAUUUACUGAUUUAAUUACUUUUUACAAGUGCAUGUUUGAUAAUGAUAAAAUCACUGCACUGAAAGAAUUUCUAUGAAGAAUAUAAGUCUUGUUCUGUAUUUUUAAUGAAAUUUACAGAAUUAUUUAUACAAAAUAAAGACAAAGUAGCCGUUGAAAGGCUUAAUAAUAUUAAAGGAGAAUAAGUGAAUACUUCCUAAACUAUUGCACAAUAUCUUUAUACAAUAGGAAUGAAAUAUUCGUACAUGAUAUUGACAUUCAAGUGCAAAAAUCGUGCCGGAGAUAUUCCUUGACAAAUAACUUUGAUGUGAGCAAGUCGUGUCACGUGUGGAGUGAUUAACCCGACUUGACCGUUAAUGACUUUCCUUUUGGUAAUCUUGGUCAGCUUUCUUAACAAGUGGUACCCAUAACCCAUCCAUACUGCUAGGCUAGGUAAACAGCAUAAAUAAAUGUAUAACGAUUCUUAUAUAAAAAGCCACCACCCCAAGCCAAAAGAAAAAAAAAAUUGUGCUGAAUACAACAAUAUAAUUUCUUCAGUUAUAUUUCCUUGGAAACAAGAGAGAUGAAUAUGAAGAAGCAGAAGCCAAAAGCUAUUGUAGUUGGAGGAAGCAUUGCUGGGGAAUCAUGCGCAAAAGCACUUGUUUCAGCAGGCUGGGAUGUUGUUGUGAUUGAGAAAACUCGUGGACCCCCAACCCAAAACCCAACCGGUGCUGGCCUUGGACUCGAUCCAUUGGCUCAGAAAAUUGUUCAGUCAUGGCUCCAUGAACCUGAACUUCUUUACAACAACACUUUACCUGUCACCAUUACUGAGGUAUAUAAUAUAAUAUAUUUAAUUUUUUUUUUCCCAGCAGAAUCCAGUAGUGCUUUGAAUUAUACUGAUCUCUUAAAGAUAUUAGUUGCACACGUGUAUAUACAAUGGUGUAUGGUUAAGAUUUGAUAAAAGUAUAUUUUGCUCUGCACAAAGUACAAUUUAGAAUGGAAUCUCAUUGGGAAAAAAAUGUAUAUAUGUUGAAUAGAUAAAAUUUCAAUUUGUAUUUAAUUGCAGAACCUAGCAACAGAUGGGGAAAAGAAGAUCAGCUGGGUAAUAGGAAGAGAAGAAGGCGCUAAAUAUCUGACUGCAUAUUGGGCUGAUCUUCAUGGCCUUAUAUACAAUACUCUGCCACCUGAAAUAUUUUUAUGGGGUCACCAGUACCUCUCUUUCUGUAUUUCUGAGGACAAAUUAACUGUCAAAGUUAGAGCUAAGGAUCUUGAGACUGAUGAAAUAAUCGAGAUAGUAGGAGAUUUGCUCGUCGGAGCAGAUGGGAUCCUCUCAUCAAUUGGUCGGAGCAUUCUACCUGACUUCAAAUUGAGGUUUGUGCUUGCUUGUGAAUAUCAAUAAAAGUAAUUAAUUUUUGAGUAUUUUGUUUCAUAAAUUUCAAUGUGUUUUUAAUAGGUACACAGGAUACUGUGCGUGGAGAGGUGUUUUUAAUUUUUCAGAAAACGAUUCAGAAACCAUCUUAGGCAUUCGAAAAUCGUAUCCUGAUAUUGGGAAAUGCCUUUACACGAAUAUUGGUUCAGGAUCUCACAUCAUAGUCACUGAGCUUAAGAAAGAGAAGUUCAAUUGGGUUUGGUAUGUCAAUCAACCUGAGCCCGAGCUCAAGGUAACUGCUUACUUUUGUUUCAUCUUUUUAUUUUGUUUCCGGGGUUUUGGGUUGAGUGCUAAAAUCUAAUUUUUGCAAACGAUCAACACAGCUCAGACCAUCACUGGAUCCAUUUUUUUUUUAAUUUUAAUUUUCCGGUUUACCAAUGCAGUAUGACGUGACAUUGGGAAACAAAUUAUUUUAUUCUCUGCAGGGAAAUACAACUUCUGUGAAAGUAAGCAGUGACAUGAUCGAGGAGUUGCACCAAAGAGCAGAGCAGGUUUGGUUACCUGAAUUGUCAAGAAUGAUCAAAGAAACAAAGGAUCCUUUCCUUAAUGCUAUAUAUGAUUGCGAUCCUUUGGAGAAAAUCAUCUGGGACAGAGUGGUGCUAACAGGAGAUGCAGCUCACCCGACAACUCCACACUCUGCCAGAAGUACAAACAUGGCGAUAAUAGAUGCAGCAGUGUUAGGAAAAUGCCUCGAGAAGUGGGGGCCGGAUCAUUUGUACUCUGCUCUGGAAGAAUAUCAAUCCAUUAGGAAACCUGUAACUUCAGCACAAGUUCUACAUUCGCGACGAUUGGGUCAAAUGAAACAAGGGUUAAGUAUUCCUGGAAGGGAGCGGCCUUUUGAUCCAAGGACAGCAAGUCUAGAGGACUCGGAAUUCAUCGUUGUGCCUCCUUUCGACGUUGUUCCUCCGAUUCUUGAUUCAAUUUUUCGUUCUGCUUGAUAACUUCAAAGGACACGGCUUGGUUUGUUCAUUAUGCUAACUAUAGCUGCCUAUAAAUAAGAGGGUUGACCUCAAUUGUGUGAGUAAAAGAACUGCUAUACUUAUGUUCCUUCCUGUAAUAACGAAAGCCUCUUACUUAAUUCAGUGUCUCUACUUCUUCAGCAAAAUAAAAAUAAAUUCUUGAUCGAACUAAACCCAACUUUUCCAAUUUUCUUAUAAAAAUGACACCACGAUAGGAUGGGAUUGUCCUUGUGUUGUGUCAUUGAUCUAUCCAUAUUUGUUUUUCCCAAAAACAAUUUCCUUGAAGGAGGAUGUUUUGCUGCUUGUUAGUGCACGCUAUUUAAGCACAAGACAUGAUUGAGAUUUAUGCAAGGUAUGUGGUAGAAUUUAUGUAAGACGACCGAUGAUUCAUAAGGAAAGCUAAACAUGAGAGUUAGUAACUUGUACUAUGGUGAUCAACGCGUUGAAGAAAAAUUUUAGAAUUUUUAUUAUAAGUGGUGCAUACAAAAGUUGGUGAGUCGAACUUGUACUCAAACACUAGCUCAUGCAUUAGGAGUUGCCUUAGGCUUACGUUAUUAAUCUAGUAACUAAUAUUAGUGAUAUGAAAUAUUUUUUCUAUCAUCUUCCAUCACAUGUGUGUAGUAAAACAAUAAAACUCUGGAGGACGAUUUGUAAUCCUCAGUUUUCAAUGAGGUUCAUAUCACAUAUCCUUCACUUAUAUACAAGCUAAGAAUACAUAUGAUAAACAUUAGCUUACAAGAUAACUACAAGGAUCUAACGAUAACUACAAAGAUAAUUACAAGACUAACGAUAAGAAUAUUUUAAGUUUUAUCUUUAUCGUUAUCACACCCCCGCAAGCUGACAGGACAAGAACGAACUGGAAGCUUGGAAAUUAGAUAGCGAAAGCGAGAAGUAGACAGGCCUUUAGUAAGACAAUCAGCAAGUUGAUCGAGAGUAGAGAUAUAACGAACAUCAAGCUCUCCGCGAACAACCUUUUCUCGAACAUAGUGAUAGUCAACCUCUACAUGACGAGUCCGGGCAUGAAACACAGGAUUGGAGGCCAAGGAAAUGGCACUUAUGUUAUCACACCACAUGCGAGGACAAGACAUAGGAAUAUGUAAGUCUUUGAACAAAGAUCGAAACCAAGAUAAAGUAGCAGCUGUAUAUGCAAGCUGUCUGUACUCAGCCUCGAUACUAGAACGAGAAACCCCUUUUUGCUUCUUAGAACUCCAAGAAAUAAGAUUAGGUCCAAUAAAUAUUCAGGAACCCCCUGUGGAUACUCGAUCAUCAGGAUCACCAGCAUAGUCGGCAUCAGAAAAGGCUUGUAGUUCCAUUGAACCAGAUGAAUAAAGCAGACCAUGAGUGGUUGUACCCUUCAAAUACCGCAAGAUGCGUUUAACUGCACACCAAUGAGCUGUUGUAGGACGAUGCAUGUAUUGACAAACCUGAUUAACAACAAAUGAAAUAUCCGGACGAGUGAUUGUAAGAUACUGCAAAGCACCAACAACACUACGAUAUUCGGUGGGAUUUGAAAGUAAAUCACCAUCAAACAGAUUGAGACGACGACCACUCACUGCUGGUGUUGUCAUAGGCUUUGAAUUGAGGAACUCAGUGCGAUGUAAAAGAUCUAGAAUAUACUUGGUUUGACACAAGUGGAGCCCCAUUGCUGUUUGAGUAGCUUCAAUACCCAGAAAAUAAUGUACAGGACCAAGAUCUUUCAUAGAGAAUAAUUUGCUCAUAUGAUGUAUCAUUUGAGAAAUAUGAUAUGAACUAUUUCCCGUAAUUAAAAUAUCAUCAACAUAGAUGAGUAAAUAUAGAAGCACUGAAUCAUGUGAAUAAAUAAAUAGAGAAUAGUCUGCCAGUGAUUCAUGAAAGCCCAAUUGUUCUAAAUGACUAGAGAAACAUUGAAACCAUGCCCUAGGAGCUUGUUUAAGGCCGUAGAGAGAUCGGGGAAGCUUACACACAAAAGUAGGAUAUUGUGGAUCAACAAAGCCAAUAGGUUGGCGCAUAUAGACAUCCUCCUAUAAAUAACCAUGCAGGAAAGCAUUUUGCACAUCUAACUGUCGAAUAGGCCAGCUUUUGGUAACAGAUAUAGCUAAAAUGAGACGAAUGGUAUUGUGAUUAACCACUGGACAGAACGUCUCACCAAAAUCAAGGCCAGGUUGUUGAUGAAAACCAUUAUCAACUAAACGAGCUUUAUAACACUCAAUACUUCCAUCAGCUUUUCGCUUAAUUUGAUACACCCAUUUAUUUGGAAGGACAUUGUAAGAUGGAUGUGGAGGAACUAAUACCCAAGUACCAGUUCUUUGAAGAGCAUUAAAUUCAUCACCCAUUGCUUGUCGCCAACGAGAUUCCUUAUUUGCCUGUACAAAACCAUUAGGCUCAACAGCAUCAUUAGCAACUACAUUUGCAUAUUUUGGGUUUGGUUUCACAAUACCGGCUCUUGCUCGAGUGACCAUUGGAUGAGAAGAUAAUGCAUCCGAAGUAAUAUUAUCACAGGGCAUCGAUGGUGUCAGUGUAGGUGAAGAUAAUGAUUCUGGAAUUGUAUUAUUACUUGAAUUGGUGGGGGCCGAAUUAAGGCUAGGAGAAUUUGUAUUUGAGAUGAGUGGAGUGGAGGAAGAUGAAGAGGCACUUGAACGUAAUGAUGGAGAAUUAAUUGGAGAUGAUAGGGAAUGGGGUAAAGGUGAAUUAAAUGAAGAUGGUGAUGUGGCUUGGGAAGGAGAUUGUGAUGUAGGUUCUGUUGGAGCUAAAUGUGAAGUAUUAGCAUUAAUCCAAAGAAUAUUGAGUCCUGUAGAAUUUGACAUUAAAGUACUCACCCCCGGAGGCCUAGCAGUAACAUGGUCAACGAAAGGAAAUUUAUUUUCAUUAAAAAGAACAUGACGAGAUAUAAAUACAGUGCCUGAAGGAAUAUGCAAACAACGAUAUCCAUGUUGAUUGAAUGAGUAUCCCAAGAAAACACACUCUUUAGAACGAAAUUGUAAUUUAUUUGAAUUGUAAGGACGAAGAUAAGGGUAACAUGCACAUCCAAAGGUCUUUAAAAAAUCAUAUUGAGGAGUUUUAGAAAAUAGUAAAGAGUACGGUACUCGAAAUUUUAAAGAUUGAGAUGGUAGACGAUUAAUUAAAUAUACAGAUGUAUAAAAAGCUUCAGUCCAAUAAGUAGUAGGCAUUGAGGCAUGUGCAAGUAAAGUUAAGCCCAUGUCAACAAUUUGUCUAUGUUUACGUUCAGCAAUACCAUUUUGUUCAGGAUGAUGAGGACAUGUGAGAUGAUGAUUAAUGCCAUGAGUAUUUAGAUAAUCCUUAAAUUGAUGAUUAACAUAUUCACCACCACCAUCAGUUUGAAAUGACUUAAUAGUAAUGGAAAACAUAUUUUCGACCAACGAUUUAAAAGUUUUAAAAAUUAUAAAAAUCAGAUUUCAAUCGCAUAGGAUAAAGCCAUACAUAUCUGGAAAAAUUAUCAAUAAAGAUAACAUAAUAUUUAUAACCAGAAAUAGAACGAAUAGGAGAGGUCCAAACAUCAGAAUGUAUUAAUUCCAAAGGAGAAUGGGAGACUGAAAAAGAACUUGUAAAAGGUAAUUUCUGACUCUUUCCUAAAGGACAUGACGAACAAAAAAAUAAAGAUCGAGAUCCCAAAAUGAGUAGCUUAUUAAAAGAUAUAAGUUUAUUUAAAACUACGGACGAAGGAUGUCCAAGCCGUGAAUGCCAAAUUCAAGCAUCACUACGAACACCAACAUAAGCAAAUGGAUGACUAGGUUGAAAAAUUCGACCAGGAAAUAGAUAAAGACCAUUACUGCUCGGUCCGAGGAAAAGUGCCUUCUUCAUUGCCAGAUCUUGUACAACAAAAUAAUCAGGAAAGAAGGUGAAACUACAAUGAUUGUCAUUAGCAAAUUUAUGAACGGAUAAAAUAUUAUGGGAAGCUUGUGGACAAUGAUGAACAUCCUUUAAAAGAAAAGUGGAAGAAUUAGCAGAUAAGUAAGAAUGACCAAUGGAUUUAAUAGGCAAACCUGAACCAUUGACGACACCACUGAUGGUAUCCUGACCAUUGUAAUCACGAGGAUGCAUUAAAUUCCCAUUAUUUGGAGUUAUAUGAGCAUUAGCACCAGUAUCUGUUAACCAAUUUGGGGAACCAAAAGAUGUUGAUGUAGAAAUCAUUGCAGAAAGCUGUUGGGGAGGGAUACGACCCUCAUAUGCAUGAUUCAUGCGAUUGUAGCAAUCAAUAGCUGAGUGACCCAUUUUCUGAUAGAUUUGGCAUUGAAUCCGAUUGUCAGAAGGAAAAGGACCCAUUGGGGGUUUGUUGAUAGGACCAUUACUAGGAUUGAAAUUUGGCAAAGAGGAAAAAUUCCCACGUCUUGGAGUUGGCAGUAGCCCUCUAUUUUGAGAACCAAAACCAGUAUGAUUAGAACUACUAGACCAUCCAGUAAAACCAUUACCACCAUUGAAACCCCCAGAAAAAUUAUUAACACCACCACGACCACUAUUAUUACGCGGGAAGCCACGACCAUCUCUAUUAUUUGGGCCACCUCGAGUGGCUUUCAUGACAACUGUUGAGUCGGACGGAUACAGAUAUUGUUUAAUAGAAGUGAGGCGUCGCUCAGCACUCAAAAGUAAAGCUUCAAGACCAACAUAACUAAUAGGAGUUUCACGAGCUUGAACAGAGGCAACUGUAUUUUCAUAUAAAUGACCAACAAUACUCAUAAUAAUGGAGACCAAGUCUUCAUCAGAAAUAUGACUACCAGAGAGAGAGAGAUUGUCAGCAAUAGAGUGAAUUUUAUCCAGAAAAUCAGAAAUAGAAAGAUCACCGCGUUUAGUAGUAACUAGCUCAGUACGCAACUCGACGAUUCGUUGUUGAUUUUGGGAAGCAAAACGUUGAUCUAAAGAAGACUAGACAGCACGUGCAGAAGUGUAACGUGCAACAGUACUUAGCAAGGAUUGAGAAAGAGAGCCAUUAAUCUAAGAGAGAACAAGUUGAUCAUUCUGAAUCCAUUCCUCAUAUGCUGGAUUAAUUAUAUCAGUUACUUCUCCAUUUUUUUCUUUUAGAAAAGGAGCAGGACAAACGCUUGUGCCAUCAACAUAUUUUUACAAAUUACGACUGCGAAGAAGAGGCACAAUUUGAGCAAGCCACAAAGGAUAAUUAUUUCGGUCAAGACGAACAUUGACUGAAUUGGUAAUAUUAGAGGGCAGAGAUGAAGAACUAGCAUGGGAAGUGGAAGAAGAACUCAUCAUGAAAAGAUUGAGAAUUUAACACAAAGGUUGUUAGACUUAUAAAGUUCUGAUACCAUAAAACAAUAAAACUUUGGAGGACGAUUUGUAAGCCUCAGUUUUCAAUGAGGUUCAUAUCACAUAUCCUUCACUUAGAUACAAGCUAAGAAUACAUAUGAUAAACAUUAGCUUACAAGAUAACUACAAGGAUAAUUACAAGACUAACGAUAACUACAAAGAUAAUUACAAGACUAACGAUAAGAAUAUUUUAAGUUUUAUCUUUAUCGUUAUCAUGUAGGUCAAUCUUUUUGUUUGGUCCAUGUCUAGUGAUAAGAUAGUGUGAGUGAUUUUGAGAGAAAAUAUGAAAAACACAAACAAUGAAAAUUCCCUUUUACUUAAACUAAGACAGAUUUUUCUACACUGAAGUUGAUAGAAGACACUCGAAUGCGCCGGAGUGACAUCUUGACAAAUUAAAGCGAGAACUAAGACAUGCUAGACUGCUAGUCCUUUCUCGCGCAUUUAGUUGACAUUAUUUUGCUUUGCAAAUAAAUGCGGGCAUGGUUGAAGGCAUUUUAUCUUUCCAGAAGUGGAUGGAGAAAUAAAUAUAAUUAAAAGGGAUGCGAAUAAUAAAUGCCAGUUUUUCUUAAUAAUGAAGAAUCUAUUAGAAAUAAAUUGAAAUGUAACAAAAUACUUGAAAUAAUUCAAGUGAUGGGUUUUUUCUCUGUCAAUAACGGUUGAUAGUUCCUUGUCAUGAGCUUCUUAUCUUUUGUCUUGAAGGAAGAAAUUACAAAAGACAAAUAAAACGAUUUCCUUUACACAUUCAAUCAAUGCUGCUGCCUUUAUACCUUUAUUAUUCUCGGAGGGAUGAUACUGUUGAGAGCCGAAACCAUUACCCACACUCACUCCUCUUAUGGCCAUGUCUAACUCUCUACAAUAAUUUUGAUAUUGCUGUUCUUCAGUUCUUCCACUACUCAACAAAUGCGAAGGUAUGCGAUGGCUCCCCUCAAUCAAGUUGAUUUUACAUUUGUUACAAUAUACUCCCGCCAUUGCUAGAGCCUCUAUGGACAUGUUUUAACAAGGUGAAGGAGGAGCUAAAUAAAAUUCACAAUUUUCCUGAAAGUUUACAGCUUCCAGGAAAUUCACCACCUCUAUAGAAUUGUAAUAACAAGAAUUGUGGUCUCCGUAAAAGAAUUUAUAAGAGUUAAUAUAAAAGAUUUGUUUAGGAGAAUGAAUUUUAUACGGACUAGAAAUACUCAUGAUUAAUUAGUUAUUCAGAAGGUUUAGAAAUCCUCUCGAUAUCAGGAAGCCAUUUAAGAUUCUGAUUAUUGUUGUUCUAAAUAUAUUAGUUUGCACCAACUUCCAAUUCCACAAUUACUCUGACAGCGGUUUUCACAGACUUAUUUAUGUAUCUGAAUCUUUUUUAUUCAUGAAAGAAUAAUCUCUUGCAAACUCACAACUUCAAUUAUGAAUAAACUAGGUAGCAACCAUUUCUUUACUUUUAAUUGCUUUGGAAAUUAAGGAUUCGUCAGCCGCCAGAUUCCGCAGUGAUUCUGUUGCAUUGGAUUCCUUCAAUUUCCUUUUGCAUUCCAUUAUUUGUUGAACUAUUUAUGCACGAGUGGAGGACGAAUUCUAGAAUACAUUUGAAAUAAUACAAUCAACCAAUGCAUGCACACCACUCGUAUGGAGAUUUUUCAAAAAUAAAUGUACACAUGUCAUAAUAUUAUCUACUUGUUAUAUGACUGACAUGAUAUUUUUCAUGUAUUCUAAAUUUUUUCUGAGUGGAGACCAUGAGUGGUAACAUCCUCGUUACAAAAGAGUAUUACAAAGAGAGAAUCACUUGUCAAUUUCAAUAUUUAUUGUAUUGAAACUACUAAGUAUAUAAGCUCGGACAACCCUAAUUUCAUGAUGAGGGGUUAAAGACAAUACUAUUCUAAAAGAAAAUGGAACGAAAUCGUCCAUCCAUAGCCAUUAUUUGACUUUUAGAUUUGCCCUUCCAAAUUUUAACAAAAUGCGCAGACGAUUUUUAAUUUAUUCAUGUGAGCAAAGUACAACAAAAUUAUUGAACCAAUCAGAACCAAGAUGGAAAUGAUCAUAAGCAAAAGUAAUUUGCAAGGAUGAAUGGAAGCAGAUAAAUUAUUCUAAUUAAGAAGGAUAUUUACUAGGAUCAUACCUUAAUCACUUUAUUAUAAAUUAAAAAUGUCCGUACAAGAACUGCUGCAAAUUAAUUAAACUAUUGGAAAAAGAAAAAUUGUAGACAAAAUCUCAAUGAAUUUUAAGCCAAUUUGGCUAACAAAGACAUGCAACCAGCGCCUAAAAGAAGAGAAACAUUUGCUCCAAACUGAAGCCUUUUAUUGGUUUGCAUCUUUGGAUUCAUAAAAUCUGCAGCAAGAAGAUCCACCAAGGACAUGUAUAUUAGGAUUCUGGCUGCUGCUGCAUUGAAUAUUCCUUCAACAACAAGAGCAGUGGCGCUAUUUUUGUCAUAAACACUUGAUAUUUCAAUGCCUAUUUUUACACUAAUUUGAUCAUUUUGUAAUAUAAAAAUUUGACAAUUGAAAAACAAAUCAACUUUUUUUUUUGUUAAAAGAAAACGAAUCAACUUUUAAAUUCAUUUUAAAGUAAAAAAAAAUGACAGUAAAAUACUAUUAACGUAAGGGGAUUUCAGUAAAUUUUAGAACAUGAGAGAUAAAUGACUAAUUUUACUAGACAAAGGGGGUUAAUUUUCUCCUAAAAAAAAUUAGGUAUUGGUUGAUGACUUUUAAAAAAAAAACUACUCUUUAUUAUUAUUUUUUUAAAUUUUCUUUUUGUUCGACCAAAACUCCCAUGGUAUUGGGAUAUACCUAAAUUUGAUGUAAAAUUAGGGAUUAGUUAAAUGAAAUAAUUUAAACACUGCAUAAAAUCUGUUUGUGGGGUAUGCUUCGACGAAGACCAGCAGUGAUAAGCAGACAUUUGGUAGCAGGGUUCCUUGAACAUGUAUAUCUUGUAAGAGUCUGGUAGCCAGGGGAGCAGGAGCAGGAAUAUCCUGCUCGUCCACGAGUACGUCAUCCAUAAGGCCAAUCUCCUGUUGGAAGCAUAAAGUCAUUCCUGCUACAUUCCUGCUAAGGGUUGAGUCGAGGAGACCCGGUCAACGACAGUUGGCGAGACGUGCUCUCCAGUCCGAGAAUCAAGGCACGAAGGCCACGCAACCACCCACGACUACAGAAAUGGAGCAUCCACUUUCGAGAGGUGGGAGGAUAACGAGCGCGAAUGGAGGGAAGGCCUGAGUUCAGAAGUGGCCUAUAAAAAGGUAGGCAACGAAGGUAAAAGGGUUAGAAUUUUUUAUAGGAGAACUAAGAUAAAGAGAGCUCUAAAGAAUGAAUACUAGAGAAAAGCCAUAAGAUUAGUGGCCAGUGUUCCCAAGAGCACAAAACCUUCAUUUCUAACUUGAGCGUCGGAGGGUUUACGCCAGGGAAACAACCGGCGUACUCUGACCUGCUUCUGUGUACGCAGGAACCUCAGGAGAAGAAGCCUUACGAGAAGAGAUCCUGGUCGUGAUAAAGAGGGCAACCAGAAUCUCGCAUCAAUAUUUUGACGCCGUCUGUGGGGAACUGAUCACAAAGUUUUUGUUGACAGCAAAAAGAGGAGUAAAGCAAGUGAAAAAACAAUGGAGGCAGGAGGAAGUAGUGCACAAGGGGGGUGAUAUGAGGCUUAACGAUUCCGUGACGCUGAGGGAGAUAGACAGUUAACCACGGGAAAAAGCCAUGUUUGACCGAAUAGAACGGAUAGAAAAGCAGAUGGAGACCCUGACAACCAUCUUACAUGAGCUGUGGAGUGAAAGAAGGGGAACCCAGGAGGAAAGGGUGAGAGGUGGUGGAGUGGCACCAGGUCACGAUAGUAUGAGGAGAGUCAAACCACCAGGAGAUUUGGUGGUGAGAGAGGUAACUUAUCUCUGCGGGGAGAAAUUCAUAGAGAGGAAGAGCAAUCCUUAGCAAGACAGAUUUUUGAUGAGGACGACGGGGUGGCGAAUGCAGAGGAAACAGAGCUCAGGCAACACUUACAUGAUGUAGAGCAAGAGCGGGAUCAAGUUGCAGCACGUGACCCUAGUCGUGCAGUGCAGCUGGAGAAGGAAGUGCGCAGACUAGCGCAGGUAAUUGAAGACAUGCAAGGAAGGAGCAGAGCUCCUGGUUGGAGGAUAAUGCUGGACGGAGAAUCACCGCUCGUGGCAGAGAUCAUGAGGGCAGUCAUUCCAAGAGAUUUUCGUCUCCUAGACCUUAGAUAUUUGGGACGAACUGAUCCGUUGGUGUACAUAGAGCGCUUCAACGACAUAACUGGGGUGCAAGGAUUAUCUCAAGCCCAAAGGUGCAGGGUGUUCCCACUAUCCCUAGAAGGACGUGCACGCGAGUGGUACAGAAAAUUUCCUCGGGGGAGCAUUAAAACCUUCGAGCAGAUGUGCCAGGAAUUUGUAGAGCAGUUUCGUGGGGCAAUGGCACCAGAAGACGACAUGAUGGAGUUGAAAAGCAUGAAGCAGAGGGAGCAAGAAACCCUUCGGGAAUUCUUCAAGAGGUUUCAUUGUGCUGUCCUCGAUUUGGAAGCCUUCAACCAUCCUCAGGCAUUAAGGGGAUUGAAAGAAGAGGUGAAGAUAAGAAAAAGUGAUGUCCGUUUUGCCGUCUGAUUUCUCCUUUAUUGUGAAAUGACUAUAAUGCCCCUAAAAUACAUAAAAUACUUAAUUAAAAUAAAACACAUGUAAUUAAAUCACAAGAAGGUUAAACACAUAAAAGUAAGGGUUGUUAAUAAGACUUGAAAUGUAAAAUGACGGUUUUCUCCUUUAUAAAUAUGCAUUUUCUAACACUCAACACUUACCAGCCUCAUCAGAGGCUACCACAGUAUCAGCGCAGCAGGGCGCAACCUCCUCGCUCACCAGCUAGGGAGCCUUGGAGACGGCAUGACGCGGCAUAUGGUGGUCUUCAUCCACACUCCCAUGGUAGUAGAAGGAGCAGACCGAAAGCGCUGCCACCGCCUCCAACUCAGAACGGCGCAAAUAGAGAAAGGGCAGUGCACAUGAUCAACCAGAACCAGGACUAUGGGUGGUAUACUUCCUUGAAGAUGCCCCUGGAUGAGGUGUAUGAGGCCAUAAAAGACCAGGGACUACUGUACCUCUCUGCCCCAAUAACAAAGCUACGCAGCAGGAGGGAUAGGGGACACUAUUAUAAGUUCUAUGGCACUUAUGGCCAUACCACUGCAGAAUGCAGAGAUCUCAAGACCCAGGUUGAGGAUUUGGUGAGAAAUCGGUACCUGGACGAGUUUAUAUAUGGGACUUUCCCGAUGAUGGCCUCGACAUGUGAAGGGGAGCAGAGUGACAGAAACUUGAGGCACGAGCAGCCUACAGUAAGGGUGAUAGCUGGGGGCCCAACAUUGGCCGGAGAUUCCAACAGAUCGAGGAAGAAUUAUGCUAGAUACGCCAUGACUAGUAAAGAGGUAUUCUUCAACACCCCAGCAGUCAAACGAGCAAGAGUCAGGCAAGUGCCAAUCAUGUGGACAGAUGAGGAUGAAGAAGGGAUUUUAUACCCCCACGAGGAUGCUUUAGUCAUCAAGGCCACUGUUGCUAGCAAGAAGUUUGACCAGAUACUGGUUGACACAGGGAGCUCAGUUGAUGUGUUGUUAAAGGCAACUCUGAAGGAGAUGGGAAUAGCAGACUUGAAGUUGGAGUGCUCCAAUACCUCCUUGAAGGGGUUUGGAGGAGGAAAGCUGGUCCCUCUGGGCGUGGUCGAGCUGCCUAUCACGAUUGGGAGCUCCCCGACAGAAAGGACUAUGAUACUGGACUUUGUGGUGGUGGAUGAAGAAGGUCCUUAUCAGAUGAUCCUAGGUCGACCAUUUUUUAGAAUGAGCAAAGUGGUACUGUCCAACCAUUAUCUAGCUCUCAAGUACCGGGUGAAUGGGGUAGUUGGAGUGGUACGAGGAGACCAGAGAAUCGCACGAAGUUGUUACUCCUCGGCAGCAAGGGAAGCAAUGCAGAUAACAUCCCUUGAUACCCGAGUGGAAAAUAAGAAUUGCGGACAAGAACCUGUAGAGGAGCUGGAGACAGUGAGCCUGGGACCGGAGCAUCCGGGAAAAACGAUCAGAAUCAGGUCGAAACUUAAAGAAGAGCAGAAGCAGGAGUUGGUGCAAUGCUUGCGGGCUCAUGCAGAUGUGUUUGCUUGGACACAUGAAGACAUGCCAGGGAUUGAUCCUGAGGUAGCAUGUCAUAAGCUGGUAAUAAAGAAAGGUGCUCGGGCAGUAAGGCAGAAAAGGAGGUGUUUCAACCAGGAGAGGUAUGAGGCUAUAAAUGGCGAGGUGGAAAAGCUCUUGAAAGCAGGGUUCAUUCGGGAAGUCAAUUAUCCUGACUGGGUAUCGAAUGUGGUGUUAGUAAAAAAGGCUAAUGGCAAGUGGAGGAUGUGUGUGGAUUUCACGGACCUCAACAAGGCGUGCCCGAAAGACAGCUUUCCCUUACCAAAGAUUGACCAGCUUGUAGACUCGACAGCUGGACAUAGCCUGCUUAGCUUCAUGGACGCAUUCUCGGGAUACAACCAAAUCCCCAUGUUCGAGCAGGAUGAGGAGAGCACGGCAUUUAUUACUAACCAGGGUCUGUUCUGUUACAGAGUAAUGCCAUUCGAUCUUAAAAAUAUGGGGGCCACGUACCAGAGGCUGGUGAAUAAAGUUUUUAAGCCGUUGAUUGGGAGAACAAUGGAGGUGUACGUGGAUGACAUGAUAACUAAGUCGAAAAUCUCAAAGGAACAUGUCAAGCACCUCGAGGAGACAUUCGCACUUUUGAGGAAGUACAAGAUGAAGCUCAACCCGGAAAAGUGUGCUUUUAGGGUCGAGUCAGGGAAAUUCCUCAGAUUCAUGGUGAGUCAUAGGGGGAUCGGGGCAAAUCCCGAGAAGAUCCAGGCGAUUGUUCAGAUGAGGUCUCCUCGUAACCUGAAGGAGAUGCAGAGCCUUACGGGGAGGCUGGCGGCAUUGAGCCGAUUCAUAUCCAAGGCUACAGAUAAGUGUCAGCCAUUUUUUCAAGUGAUAAGGAAAGGAGAAGACAUAAUGGACCCCAGAAUGCGAAAAGGCCUUUCAGAGCUUGAAGCAAUACUUGUAGCAAGCACCCUUGUUGUCCACACUAAGGGAUGGGGACAAGUUAUCUUUGUAUUUGACGGUAUCAGAUCAUGCCACAAGUUCUGUUCUGGUGAGAGAGGAAGAAGGGGUUCAGUAUCCGAUAUAUUACACCAACAAGGUCCUGCUUGACGCUGAGACCCGAUACCCACCGUUGGAGAAAUGGGCACUCGUUCUUGUGGUCGCUGCUCGGAAGCUGAGGCCGUACUUUCAAGCAUUCCCCGUCUCGGUAAUAACAAACCAGCCAUUGCGUCAAACCCUACACAAGCCGGAUGCCUCUAGUCAACUCGUAAAGUGGGCUAUAGAGCUAAGCGAGUUUGACAUUGAUUACAAACCCCGAGCAGCGAUAAAGGCUCAAGCAAUGACUGAUUUCGUAGCAGAGUUUGCAGAGCCUGAAAUAUGUUUGGACCAGCUAGAUAUUGCUACAGACAGCAGCGAAGCCCGAGUAUGGCAGAUGUCUGUAGAUGGGUCAUCAGGGGAGCAGGGAUCAGGAGUAGGAAUUGUCUUGGAAGGCCCAGAGGGGGAGGAGAUCUCUUAUGCUGUAAAGUUAGAAUUCGCAGCCACAAAUAACCAGGCAGAGUACGAAGCCUUGAUAGCAGGCUUGGAAUUGGCUAAGGCAGUGAAAACAGAUAGAGUGAAGAUCAGAACUGAUUCCCAGCUGGUUGCAAAUCAUGUCAGUGAAAGAUUUCAACCGAGAGAGGAGAAGAUGGAGCAGUACCUGAAGAUAGUCAGGCAGAUGAUGGAGAAAUUUGAAGUGGUUGAGGUGAUACAAAUCCCCAGGGAGCAGAAUAGUCGAGCAGAUAUUUUGGCCAGGAUGGCAGCGGUAGCAGACCCAAAAAUGCCAAAGUCGAUCCCUCUGGAGGUGAAGUCCAACCCGAGCACCGAGCAGAAUCUGGAGGUGCUGCGGAUAGAACAAAAAUGCUCGUGGAUGGACUCGAUAAUUUCAUACCUUAGAGACGGGGUAUUACCACCAGAUAAGCUGCGAGCUCGAAAGAUUAGAGCCCAGGCCUCGAGAUACACGAUGAUUGAUGGGGUGUUAUAUCGGUGAAGGUAUACGCUACCGUUCCUUCGGUGUUUGGAUGAGGACGACGCGGACUAUGUACUGAGAGAGGUACAUGAAGGAAUCUGCAGAAACCAUUCUAGUGGGAGGUCCCUGGCCCACAAGGUUCUAAGGCAGGGAUAUUUUUGGCCGACAAUGCACCAGGAUGCGCAGGAGAAGACCAGGAGCUGUGUAAGCUGCCAGAGUUUUGCAAGUUUCUCCAACCAACCACCAGAGAAGCUCACCUCUAUGGCCUCCCCUUGGCCAUUUGCUCAAUGGGAAAUUGAUCUGAUCGGCCCGUUGCCAAAGGGACGAGGAGCAGCAACACAUGCAAUAGUUGCGAUAGACUACUUCACGAAGUGGAUAGAGGUAGAAGCCCUUAGCAGGAUCACAGAGAAGAAGACAACAGACUUCGUGUGGAGAAACCUGGUCUGUCGGUACGGGAUCCCUUAUGCCUUGGUAACGAAUAAUGGCAGGCAGUUCGAUAAUCACAGCUUCAGGGAUUUCUGCCAAAACCUCGGGAUAGAGUUGAAAUAUUGCUCGCCUGCUUACCCACAGUCUAACGGGCAAGUAGAAGCAGCCAACAAAACGAUCAAGAGGCUUUUAAAAACCAGGCUUGGAGCAAAAAAGGGUGCUUGGGUUGAUGAGCUAUCAGGUGUACUAUGGGCAUACAGGACAACCUAUAAGACAACAACUGGGGAAACUCCAUUCGCCUUGACCUUCGGACACAAAGCGGUUGUACCAGCCAAGAUAGGAACAACCACGCACUGGACAGAUCAUUUCGAUGAGCAAGAGAACAACGACCAGAUGUGCUUGAAUCUAGAUCUGCUAACCGAGAAGAGGGAACAAGCAUCGAGGUGAUCAGCCAUUUACCAGCAGAGGGUUGCUCGGUACUACAACCAGAGGGUGAAUGUAUGGCAGUUCAAGGUCGGAGAUUGGGUGUUGAGGAGAGUGAAUCAGAACACGAAAGACUCGGCCUAGAGAGUACUCAGACCAAAUUGGGAGGGGCCAUAAAGGGUCAAGCAGCUAGUUAGACCCGGAGCUUACAAGCUGGUUCGCACGGAUGGCCACGAGGUGAAAUGCCCAUGGAAUGCGGCACACCUCAGGAAAUAUUUUCAGUAAGACUUAUUCAUGUUUUAAAGUUAUUUCUGUUCAUGCUCGUUGUUUUUUAUUUUUAUUUCAAAGUAAUCUCAUGUAAGCCGAAUUCAAUAAUAAGUGAAUCAAUGAGAAAUUUCAGUUAACUGUACUGUUCAAAAAUUUACUAAGGCAUGCAAAGGCUCACCAAGUCUCAAAGCUUGUUAUGGCGAGACCAGAAGCCAAGUGUGCCAGGAUCUGCUCGACCACGCGAAGGUGAGCAGAACCCCAAGCAUUGAAGAAUUUACUAAGGCAUGCAAAGGCUCACCAAGUCUCAAAGCCUGUUUAUGGCGAGACCAGAAGCCAAGCGUGCCAGGAUCUGCUCGACCACGCGAAGGCGAGCAGAAUCCCAAGCAUUGAAGAAUUUUCUAAGGCAUGCAAAGGCUCAUCAACUCUCAAAGCCUGUUUAUGGCGAGACCAGAAGCCAAGCGUGCCAGGAUCUGCUCGACCAAGCGAAGGCGAGCAGAAUCCCAAACAUUGAAAAAUUUACUAAGGCAUGCAAAUGCUCACCAAGUCUCAAAGUCUGUUUAUGGCGAGACCAGAAGCCAAGCGUGACAGGAUCUGCUCGACCACGCGAAGGCGAGCAGAACCCCAAGCAUUGAAGAAUUUUCUAAGGCAUGCAAAGGCUCACCAAGUCUCAAAGCCUGUUUAUGGCGAGACCAGAAGCCAAGCGUGCCAGGAUCUGCUCGACCAAGCGAAGGCAAGCAGACCUUUAAGUGUUAUAAAAAUUUCUAAGGCAAGUAAAGGCUCCAAAGUCUCAAAACCUGCUCGAUGGCGAGAUAAAAAGUCAAGCUUGCUAGAAUUUGCCCGACCAUGUGAAGCCGAGCAAAAAAAAAAAAAUUUACAACUUCUAUACCAGAAGACAAGUAAGAACAUUCUUAUUAAUAUGCCAACAGUUCGUAAAGUUAUUCAUCAUAACAGACAAUGUCCAAAAAAUAGGAAAAGGCAACUAUAACACAAAACAUGUUUAAAAAGACGGCGGCUCAGUAAGCCGAGAAGCCUCAGUUGGCUGGUCCACCUCAGGUGCUGGGGGAGUAUCACCAGUUGCGUCCGGGGGGGCACUUGCCUCGCCAACGUCAACAGGGAUUGCACAAGGAGGAGAGUUUUCCUCCUCGACCAUAAUUGGCUCCACCACUUCGGCAUCCUCUUUCGCCGCCUCCUCAUCAUCCAUGUGUUGAGCAACACCAGCUGCAAGGUCAUCCAUUUUCAGAUCAGGGUGCUACUUCCCAAGGACAACCAUGAUGCAACGAUAAGAAUGCCGAAGUCCCUGGUCGUAUUGGUUGUCCGCUUCCUUCUCCAAGUUCUCGACCUAAGCCCGGUAGGAAUCGCGGAGAGAUUCGAGCUGAGCCUCGUACAUAACCUUCUACCUUUGCAGAUCUUCUUUGACCUUGGUUAGCUCUUCCUCGAGAGUAAUAGCCUUUGCUUAAGCAAGAGAUUCUCACUCUAUCAGCUUCAGAUUCUCGAGAUUCAAGUCUCCUACUUUCUUCUCGGCAGCGUCGGCUCUGGUCAUCGCCGAUUGAAUGUCCUCCUUCAUCUUCCAGUCAUAACGACCAACCUUGACCUUAUAGUAAGUGGUCAUGCAGCUGAGAUGGAAAUCGCUAUACUGCAUGGCCCCCACCAGCUCACCCAGGGUGCAGCCAUCAAAGUCCUCCAGGUCCUUCUUGCUUACAAGUUUAGAUAACUCGUUGAGAUAGGGGACCAAGUGUUCUGCUCGGUUGUCAGAUAAACGAGAUCUAGGCCCGACAGGAGGAGAAGAGGAAGCAGGAUCAGUGGCUGCUCCACUAGUUUCUCCGACUUUGGCAGGAGGAGGAGGUAGAGUCUUCAAGGGAGGAACCUGCUGCACAAUGUUCACCCGCUUCGCAGUAAGAGCGUCCUUGUUCUGGUCUCUCUUCGCAGUUUGAGGUCGAGAACGUUUCCAAUUCAGAGCCCCGAUCACAACAUCCUCCAUCUUAUGGCCGGGGGGCACCAAGCAAGAUUCAACCAGGUUAUAACGUGGUUAGCAGCUCCCAGUGCGAGCAAGAAUUGGCCAACACAGCCUCGACCUGUUUGAGCUGGUCGGGAUUAAGCGGGAAGUGAACACCCCAAGAACCUGUAAAACGAACAGACAUUUGGUUAGAGACAAAUCAACAAAGUGAGAACAACUAUAGAGACAAGUCAUUUAAAAUGAGCAGGCAACCUGGAACCACGAAAUGGGGUGGGACGCGAUAAUCCUUCCCAUCAAUCUGUGCAACUUGACCCCAGGGACCCCCAGCAAAAAAGAACUUUCUCUUCCAAUUCCCACCACCACCAGUAGGAAGGUCGGUUAUGGGUUUCCUGAUCUUAGUACUUGAUUGGAAGUAAUACCAGCCAACAUCUUUGGGGCUGGUUUUCAGCUGGUACAUGUGCUUCACCUCAUCAACUGUGGGCUCGCUUUGGCAACAUUUGUCCCACAAUAUGAACAGACUAGAGAGUACUCUCUACCCGUUGGGGUUCAGCUGACCAGGAGCUAGAUUUAGCCCGUUAAGAAUCCGGGCAAAGUAGGGUUGCAAGGGGCACCUCAGUCCAUACUUAAAACUCUCCAAAAACGGGGUAACAUAUCCCCUAGGAGGCCAGCUAGGAGUAUCCUUCUUUCCUGGGAUUUUAAGAGGUAUUUCACCAGGAAUACUAUACCUAAGCCGGAGGUCAGUGAGUUCAUCAAAUGUGGUCGUGCAUGUAAUGUAAUCAAUAGCGUAAUCCCGCGAUAGGGCUCUACCUCCUACUAUACUCCGCCCUUCUGGUCGCGAUGUUCGCAGUGAGGAUACCUCCCCAGAGUCACCCCUUCGAUCCUCACUCAGGGUGUUUUUCGAGCCAGAAGAUCCCUCCUCAUCCCUAUUUCUGCUUGAGGAGGCUGUUUGGGGGGACAUCCUCCUAGAGCUAGUCCCAACACUAGACCUAAUGGGUUCUAAGGGGAUCCUGGGGUCAAAAGUAGGAUCGGUGAGCAGACUAGGCAGGAAGUCCAACUCAUCGUCAUCAACCUCAAUGACUUUUUCUUUACCUUUCGACAUUCUCUAAACUAUAACUAGAGCACCACCACCAACUACUACCCAAUCAAAGCAAAGAGAAAAGAAAUUAUCUACAACUAUCCAAGACCGAGAAAAUAGGAGAAAUACCUAAAGAAGGGGCUCGGCCAGAGAGAGAUAGGGAUGGAAGCUUUAAUGCCGAAGUUCAUUCGCCGGAGAGACAAGAAGGGAGAAAAUGACGAGUUCUCGUUUGGGGGUUUUGGGUUUUCCUACUGAGGAACAAACUCUUGGGCUGCCAGCAUUUAACGGCACAUAUCCCAAGAGUCUUGCAACCGUAGGUUUGAAAUUCAAAUAGAGGGGUAGAUUUCUGCCACAUCACCUCAUCCGCAAUUAAAUGCGACACGACACUUGGCAGCUUUUUCCAAUCCCGCGCGAGCAAGAACUGUCGAGUUUCUACUGUUGGCUCACUACGUUACCCAACACCAGAAACUGGGGGACCAAUGUUUGUGGGAUAUGCUUCGACGAAGACCAGCAGUGAUGAGUAGACAUCUGAUAGCAGGGUUCCUUGAACAGGUAUAUCUUGUAAGAGUCUGGUAGCCGGGGGAGUGUUGUGCAAAUUUUAAUGUACUCGCAAGCGCACGAAUCUAUUGUAGUAUAGAUUAAUGGUGACGAGUGUCGAUCCCACGAGGAGGUGUAUUUUAAUUAUAUGUAGAAUUAAUUUUGUAAAUGGGUGGUUGAAAUUGUGGUGGAAGUGAUUUAAAUUAUCCUAAAAUUGGAAUUGAGAUGGCGAUAAUAAAUUCUAAAAUUGGAAUUGCAAUGGCGAGAAUAAAUUGAAGCAAAAUCUAUUGAAAUGACGUACUUGGGUAUCUGGAUCCAUAUCAACAUGCAUCAUGAGCUAAAUAAUCCGUAUUAAUGCCAAUUAAAUCAUGAGGGGGGAAUCCACACCUCAUGAACCACGCUCUAAUCAAUAUGGUGCUAAGGGCUUAUCGUUCCAAAUAAUAAUAACCUUGUACUAGAGGGCCGGUGAAACCAAGGCGGUACUAGACAAGAUUAGUAUUAUUUGUCGACGAGAAGUCAAAACAUCCACAAAAACUAGAGGGGAAGAGAAAAUAAAUUUACCAAAUAAAGCCCAUGACACAUGUUGAGACUUCACCUUCAACCCAAGCUUGAAAGAAAAUUAGCUAUUCAUAAUUGAACUAGGGGCAAAAUGAGAAUUUAUUAAAAUACGUAGAAAAUAGAAGAUGGAGAAGGAAUUACAGAAAAUGGAUCCCAAAAAUGGAUUCAGAGAUAUCAAAUUAAGGGGGAGAGGCCCCUUUUUUAUAGAUACAUGGAAUAAAUCAUGGCCAUCGGAUUAAAAACAGUUUUGACGCUCAGGAUUGCGCCACUUCAUCAGUCAACAAUACGCGGUUUGACCACGCGAAUGAACAGCAACACAGUUUGACCCGGGUUGAACAGUAAUGAUGUUUGGUUGAAAAUAAUCCUGUGUGAUACAUGUACCGUGCGCGAGAUUUUUCGUCCACUGAUAUGCUGCCACGUCACCAUCAAUAGUACAUAAGAAUUUUAGUCCAACAGGAUCGUGACACCUCAUCAGUCAAUGCCACAUCAUCGGUCAAUGCCACAUCAUCGAUCCGUCUAUGUGAACAAUGUCGUGAACAGUAACGUAGAUAGUACCGUACAUGUGAAUAGUGCCAUUUUUCCUUUUAUGCUCCUCAUAAGGUUUUCGACCGUCCUGAGUUCAAAAGUGAUGUCCGUUUUGCUGUCUGAUCUCUCCUUUAUUGUGAAAUGACUAUAAUGCCCCUAAAAUACAUAAAAUACUUAAUUAAAAUCAAACACACAUAAUUAAAUUGCAAGAAGCUUAAAUACAUAAAAGUAAAGGUUGUUAGUAAAACUUGAAAUGUAAAAUGAUGAUUUUCUCCUUUAUAAAUAUACAUUUUCUAACACUCAACAUGGAGCAGGAGUAGGAAUAUCCUGCUCGUCCAUGAGUACGUCAUCCACGAGGCCAAUCUCCUGCUGGAAGCAUAAAGUCAUUCCUGCUACAUUCCUGCUAAGGGUUGAGUCGAGGAGACCCGGUCAACGACAGUUGGCGAGACGUGUUCUCCAGUCCGAGAAUCAAGGCAGGAAGGCCACGCAACCACCCACGACUACGGAAAUGGAGCAUCCACUUUUGAGAGGUGGGAGGAUAACGAGCGCGAAUGGAGGGAAGACUUGAGUUCAGAAGUGGCCUAUAAAAAGGUAGCCAACGAAGGUAAAAGGGUUAGAAUUUUUUAUAGGAGAACUAAGAUAAAGAGAGCUCUAAAGAACGGAUACUAGAGAAAAGCCAUAAGAUUAGUGGCCAGUGUUCCCAAGAGCACAAAACCUUCAUUUCUGACUUGAGCGUCGGAGGGUUUACGCCGGGGAAACAACCGGCGUACUCUGACCUGCUUCUGUGUACGCAGGAACCUUAGGAGAAGAAGCCUUACGAGAAGAGAUCCUGGUCGUGGUGGAGUUGAUCGAGCAGAGAUCCUGGUCGUGGUAAAGAGGGCAACCAGAAUCUCGCAUCAACAAAAUCUGCCUUUGUCGAUGCUAUCUCACUGUCUUAAGGCCUAACUUCUUGAAAUUUUUUCUGAAAGAUACAACAGGAUCACUUAUCCACAAGCCUAGUCAGCAACUUGGACACUAUUUUCAGCAUUAGCAUUGACAUAAGAACAAAACGUACAAUUGAGCUUAUUAAAAAACAUUGCAGUUGAUUGGAUUGUUAAUAAGUAUGGCACCAUAUGGAUGAUAAAAUUAAGCAGGAAGAAAGAAAAAAUAAAUUUUAUUAUGCAAAAAAUAAACUACAAACUAGGCACAAUAAAUAAAUAAAAAUAAAUUUUAUUAUGCAACCCAGAAUUCUCCUUUGCUGUCUGCCUCAAUGUUGUCCGGAAAUUUUUGGAGCUGAGCAAAAGGUUGUGGAGGGCACAUAGCUCUAUGGUCAUGGAGCCAAAACCUCAGAACUCGCAUUGGGAUGGAUUCAGCCACUAAGAGGAACGUCUUGUCCUUGAUUAGGGCAACUCCAUUUGGAAAUGCCAAACCUCUGUACAUGAUGGUCACCUCAUUGCUGUAUGGAUCAUACUUCAAGUAACUUCCCGCUUCUGUCUCUGUUAUCGAUUACAGAAGAAUAUUGCCUACAAGAAUAGUAAUUCGGUGUAAGCAUUGUAAAAUAUUAAUCUGGAAUUGAUGAACAAGAAUUAAGAAAAGAAAAUAUCCUUCUUUGAAAAUACAUGCUACUGUCAAUAAAAUAAACGACUCCAGUACUAGGAUCGAUAUCCAAGGAAUAUACAUGCUACUGUCAAUAAAAAAAGAAAGACAAAUAUAAAUAAAUUAUCAAAUAAAAAAAUAUAAAUAAAUGGCACGUAAUGUUUAUUUUUCAUUUAUAAUAAAGUUUAAUAUACCAAAUGACUGGUGAGGUACCACCAUACCAGGCGGUGCAUGGAAAGAUGGGGAAUUUGGGACUUCCAGUGUGGCGAGAGACUGAGCAUGAGGGUGCUGCAGCGGCUGGGCAUCACUUAUGAGGUAGCUACUUAAUGACCUGAUCAUUUGAGUUUUGGGGAAUUUGGAUUUUGGAUCAAUUAGUUAGGGAGUUGAGUGAGUUUUGUAACUUUAAGAAAAUAGAAUUUGACUGUAAUUAUUAGUUAUAUCUUUAUUUUUUUACGAUAAGUUUUAAUAAGAGUAAAUUUACAAUUAACUAUUAUUAUUAUAAAAAAAACCUUAGCCUCCUCUUACCUCCGCCCUUGGUACCUGCUAAAACCAAAUACCCAAAUUAUGAAAACGAAGAGCGAGACGAUAUGUUACUGGAUUGUUAUCAAAAUUUGAAGCUAGAACUUAGCAAUUGCCCAAAGAUAAAGAUUUGCUAAGAUUUUAGACCCACAGACUUUUUAGUACCAAUUUAUCUUCUUUCCUUUAAGAAUGAUGGUGAUUUGUAGAGCCAUGCCCUGUAUUCAAAAUAAACAAAUUUGAAGAAUAUAUCUGCUGAUUCCGGUAGGGCAGGAGUCUCAUGCACAAGUUUCUCAUCUAUUUUCUUACCAGAACAAAUUUCUAGUCAAAAUGAGGGUGUGAAAGGAAGAUAAAUAGACGAAAUUUGGCCCACCACUUCAUUCUUCCUAAAUGAAUAGCUUUUUACCCUAUUAAACGAGGAAAAAUGGAUUAGAUUCUCCCUUAAUUUGAUCUGAUUAGUGAUUACUAAAUAAAGACCACACACUUUAUUGUAGUGUGUUUCGUCAUUUAAUACAUUGCAGUUUGUAUGUGGCCCUAGUUUUAGAUCACUUAAUUGGAAAGGGACUUCCCUUUUUUUUUUUUUUUGAUACAUUGGAGUCUAGUAAAACUAGGCUAAAACAGAAUGGGGAAUAGAGGUUCCAUAUAUAUCAUUACAUAACUAAUAACCAAGACCCUCGGGGGGGUUUUCAAAGACAUGAAAUCUAAGGGGUAAGGAACUAGCAAGUUUCACCAUGGAAUCUGCAGCAAAAUUGGCUUCCCGAUAUAUAUACUUUAUAGUAAUGAGCCAUUGUCUAUUUAUAAGUUCCUUUAUGGCAGUUAUGAGAGAAAAAAAUGUGCAUUAGGCAUCAAGCUAGUAGAGGAAAUAAGUUGGGAAACACAUUGGCUAUCCACCUCUGCAAUUUAAUAACGAAUGCCACAGUCCCAAGCAAUAUUAAGUCCUUGAAAAAGACCCCAAAGUUCUGCAGUAGUCACCGAUCCAAAUCCAAUGUUCAUGCCAAAGUCAAACUGCCACUUUCCAGAGCAAUCCCUCACCAAGCCCCCAGCGCUGGCUAGACCAUUCUUUAAUCAUGAUCCAUUAGUAUUUAAUUUGAAAAAAGAUUCAGGGGGAGCUUGCCAUCUAACAUCUUUGAUGAUCUUAUUACUCUGACCGAAACUAAGAGUUGAUCGUGCAUUUUGAAUGUCCUGAGCCCAAGAUUUAAUUUCAGCAACAACAUGAGUGCAGCAAGGGGAUUUUUGUGAGAAAAGAAAUUGAUUAUGCCAAAACCAAAUUUUCCAGAUAGCCACUCCAAAUUGAUUACGCCAAAACCAAAUUUUCCAGAUAGCCACUCUAAAUUGAUUACGCCAAAACAACAUGAGUGCAGCAAGGGGAUUUUUGUGAGAAAAGAAAUUGAUUACGCCAAAACCAAAUUUUCCAGAUAGCCACUCCAAAUAAACAUGCCCAUUCAUCCCCCACUUCAUUGAUACCAGUCUUUCCCAAGUUGAAAUAGAUCCAAUCACGAAUAUUAAAGGAGAAAAAAUGAUGUCUGAAGUUGACCAGAAUUAAACAAUUCCAUAUUCUCUUUGCAACAAAACAGUCCCUAAGUGCAUGCAUCGCGUUUUCUCUCUCAUGGUCACAUCUUUCACAAUUCAUUUUAUCCAGAAUAUGCCUCUUAAAAAGCUCCUCUCUAGUUUUAAAAAAAUUUUAACUCGUUGGGGCCCGGAAAGGGACUUCCUUAAUUAUUUUUCAAAAGCUCAUCCUACAAAACUCCAACAGAUGGAGUCCAAGUUCUAGAAUAGAUGAAUAAAUGAUGUCAAUUAAAUGGCAAUAGCCCACCAAGAAGACAGAGAAACAAGUUAGGAGAGAUUGUAGAGUAUACCAAAAGUAUUACAUCUAAUUAAUAUAUAUAUAUAUAUAUAUAUGUUAUCUGUGUACUUAUUUUAAAAAAUUAUUAUGUAAUUAAUAAUUAUAUUUAAUUAAACUAUACAUAUCAUAUAUGUAUUAGUUAUAUGUAGCACCUAUAUUAUACUCUAGAAUUUCUCACAAGAUAAUAUGUCAAUAUACCACAAACACAAAGUUUGAAUCCUGUGAAAUAUGUUUAAAAUUGACUCUUGUGGAAAUUAUUAUGUGGUGGUGAAAUGAUUAUGAUAAAUAAUAUAUUAACACAUGUCAAUAUAUAAUUAUGCUACAUCAAUGAGGGUACCAUUGGUUUCACAUUUUUAUUUUACGUCUUAACUUUUGUAUUGACAAUAUUAGUUUUGUAUUUUAUAUAUAUAUAUAUAUAUAUAACUACUAAGUUAUUUUUUGCAAUCAAUAAAUAUCUAAUAACUCAAUACUUUUAUAUUUAUGCUCAUAAAAUUUUUACUUUUUAAAUAAAUAUUAAAAUAUCUUUAAAAUAAUAAAUUAUAUUUUUUAAACACUAAUUAAAACAAAUAAUUUUCACAUUUAAUCUUGUUUUAGUUUAUAACAUGGACCAUUCGCUCACCACUUGGCAUAACUUUGUAACCUAGGUCUUGUUUGGAAUCGAAGUAUUACACCUUUUAAGUUACAACUGCCGUAAAAAUUUUGUAAUUAUAAAACAAAAAAUUAAUAGCUAUGAACUUAAUGAUUGCUUACUAAACUUUAGGUAUUUAUUUAUUUAUUUAAUUAAUUGUCUAAAAUUUACUUGUUAAUGUUAUUGACAAUACUUAUGUAUUGAUUAAAAAGAUGAAGUAAGGUAUUGAUCUUAUUGAUCACCAGAAAUAUUUUAUACUAGAUUGACAUAUUUGUGUAUUUAUUUUAACGUUAAAACUUUAAUUUCUCAUUUAUAUUGAUAAAAUUUAGAAAUGGGUAUUAUAUGUAGAUUUUUAAGCUCCUAUUAUAAAUUUAUAGUUUGACUUAUAUAAUUUAAUUUAUUUUUUGUGUUUUUAAAAGUAUUGUUUCAAUAUUUGUGAAGUAAAAACCCAUUGCAGGUUACGCGACGAUUUAGUAAUUGUUAAAACCUACAGUAGGUGAAUUUUUUUUUUAAAAGAAAAAACCCAUAGCGAGUUAAGAAUUUACUGAUUUAAUUACUUUUUUACAAGUGCAUGUUUGAUAAUGAUAAAAUCACUGCACUGAAAGAAAUUCUAUGAAGAAUAUAAUUCUUGUUCUGUAUUUUUAAUGAAAUUUACAGAAUUAUUUAUACAAAUAAAGACAAAGUAGCCGUUGAAAGGCUUAAUAAUAUUAAAGGAGAAUAAGUGAAUACUUCCUAAACUAUUGGACAAUAUCUUUAUAAAAUAGGAAUGAAAUAUUCCUACAUGAUAUUGACAUUCAUGUGCAAAAAUCGUGCUGGAGAUAUUUCUUGACAAAUAACUUUGACGGGAGCAAGUCGUGUGGAGUGAUAAACCCGUUCUUGACUUGACCGUUAAUGACUUUCCUUUUGGUAAUCUUGGUCUGCUUGCUUAACAAGUGGUACCCAUAACCCAUCCAUACAGCUAGGCUAGCUAAACAGCAUAAAUAAAUGUAUAACGAUUCUUAUAUAAAAAGCCACCACCCCAAGCCAAAAGAAAAAAAAAAUUGUGCUGAAAACAACAAUAUAAUUUCUUCAGUUUUUACUUGGAAACAAGAGAGAUGAAUACGAAGAAGCAGAAGCCAAAAGCUAUUGUAGUUGGAGGAAGCAUUGCUGGGGAAUCAUGCGCAAAAGCACUUAUUUCAGCAGACUGGGAUGUUGUUGUGAUUGAGAAAACUAGUGGACCCCCAACCCAAAACGCAACCGGUGCUGGCCUUGGACUCGAUCCAUUGGCUCAGAAAAUUGUUCAGUCAUGGCUCCAUGAACCUGAACUUUACAACAACACUUUACCUGUCACCAUUACUGAGGUAUAUAAUAUAAUAUAUUUAAUUUCUUUUUUCCCAGUAGAAUCCAGUAGUGCUUUGAAUUAUACUGAUCUCUUCAAGAUAUUAGUUGCACACGUGUAUAUACAAUGGUGUAUGGUUAAGAUUUGAUAAAAGUAUAUUUUGCUCUACACAAAGUACAAUUUAGAAUGGAAUCUCAUUGGGAAAAAAAUAUCUAUAUAUGUUGAAUAGAUAAAAUUUCAAUUUGUAUUUAAUUGCAGAACCUAGCAACAGAUGGGGAAAAGAAGAUCAGCUGGGUAAUAGGAAGAGAAGAAGGCGCUAAGUAUCUGACUGCAUAUUGGGCUGAUCUUCAUGGCCUUAUAUACAAUACUCUGCCACCUGAAAUAUUUUUAUGGGGUCACCGGUACCUCUCUUUGUUGAAGUCAACACCAACAAUUUGUUGAAAAAUAAUAAUAAUUAAAAAUUAUAUUUUUAAUUAUUUUAUUCUUAGCAUAGUAAUUCAUGUCUCCUAUAAAUAGCUAAGGAUUUCAUUCAGUCGAAAUCAUCCCAAAAUUGUUAAGCUUAUAAGUUUUUAAGCUUUUGAGAGAAGUGAGAGAAGUGUGUCUGGGGAAUUUAUCUUUCCUGCAGUGUCUGAGAGUACUGGGUAUAUUUGGGUUUCUGGGAAGUGAGAUUCGUUACUCAAAUAUUGUACUCUAUUAAUUGUUAAAUAAACAAUUAUUCUUUCUUGCCUCCGUGGAUGUAGGUUUAAUUACCGAACCACGUAAUUCUUGUGUCCUUUAUUUUUCUAUAAUUAUUUGGUGCGCUUGAUUCCGCAUUCUGCGCACAACACUCUUUCUGUAUUUCUGAAGACAAAUUAACUGUCAAAGUUAGAGCUAAGGAUCUUGAUACUAAUGAAAUAAUCGAGAUAGUAGGAGAUUUGCUCGUCGGAGCAGAUGGGAUCCUCUCAUCAAUUCGUCAGAGCAUUCUACCUGACUUCAAAUUGAGGUUUGUGCUUGCUUGUGAAUAUCAAUAAAAGUAAUUAAUUUUUGAGUAUUUUGUUUCAUAAAUUUCAAUGUGUUUUUAAUAGGUACACGGGAUACUGUGCGUGGAGAGGUGUUUUUAAUUUUUCAGAAAACGAUUCAGAAACCAUCUUAGGCAUUCGAAAAUCGUAUCCUGAUAUUGGGAAAUGCCUUUACACGAAUAUUGGUUCAGGAUCUCACAUCAUAGUCACUGAGCUUAAGAAAGAGAAGUUCAAUUGGGUUUGGUAUGUCAAUCAACCUGAGCCCGAGCUCAAGGUAACUGCUUACUUUUGUUUCAUCUUUCUAUUUUGUUUUCGGGGGUUCGAGUUGAGUGCUAAAAUCUAAUUUUUGCAAACGAUCAACACAGCUCAGACCAUCACCGGAUCCAUUUUUUUUUUUAAUUUUCCAGUUUAUCAAUGCAGUAUGACGUGACAUUGGGAAACAAAUUAUUUUAUUCUCUGCAGGGAAAUACAACUUCUGUGAAAGUAAGCAGUGACAUGAUCGAGGAGUUGCACCAAAGAGCAGAGCAGGUUUGGUUACCUGAAUUGUCAAGAUUGAUCAAAGAAACAAGGGAUCCUUUCCUUAAUGCUAUAUAUGAUUGCGAUCCUUUGGAGAAAAUCAUCUGGGACAGAGUGGUGCUAACAGGAGAUGCAGCUCACCCGACAACUCCACACUCUGCCAGAAGCACAAACAUGGCGAUAAUAGAUGCAGCAGUGUUAGGAAAAUGCCUCGAGAAGUGGGGGCCGGAUCAUUUAUACUCUGCUCUGGAAGAAUAUCAAUCCAUUAGGAAGCCUGUAACUUCAGCACAAGUUCUACAUUCGCGACGAUUGGGUCAAAUGAAACAGGGGUUAAGUAUUCCUGGAAGGGAGCGGCCUUUUGAUCCAAAGACAGCAAGUCUAGAGGACUCGGAAUUCAUCCUUAACAAAAAUGUGCCUCUUUUCGACGUUGUUCCUCCGAUUCUUGAUUCAAUUUUUCGUUCUGCUUGAUAACUUCAAAGGACACGGCUUGGUCUGUUCAUUAUGCUAACUAUAGCUGCCUAUAAAUAAGAGGGUUGACCUCAAUUGUGUGAGUAAAAGAACUGCUAUACUUAUGUUCCUUCCUGUAAUAACGAAAGCCUCUUACUUAAUUCAGUGUCUCUACUUCUUCAGCAAAAUAAAAAUAAAUUCUUGAUCGAAAUACACCCAACUUUUCCAAUUUUCUUAUAAAAAUGACACCACGAUAGGAUGGGAUUGUCCUUGUGUUGUGUCAUUGAUCUAUCCAUAUUUGUUUUUCCCAAAAACAAUUUCCAUGAAGGAGGAUGUUUUGCUGCUUGUUAGUGCACGCUAUUUAAGCACAAGACAUGAUUGAGAUUUAUGCAAGGUAUGUGGUAGAAUUUAUGUAAGACGACCGAUGAUUCAUAAGGAAAGCUAAACAUGAGAGUUAGUAACUUGUACUAUGGUGAUCAACGCGUUGAAGAAAAAUUUUAGAAUUUUUAUUAUAAGUGGUGCAUACAAAAGUUGGUGAGUCGAACUUGUACUCAAAUACUAGCUCAUGUAUUAGGAGUUGCCUUAGGCUUACGUUAUUAAUCUAGUAACUAAUAUUAGCGAUAUGAAAUAUUUUUUUCUAUCAUCUUCCAUCACAUGUGUGUAGGUCAAUCUUUUUGUUUGGUCCUUGUCUAGUGAUAAGACAGUGUGAGUGAUUUUGAGAGAAAAUAUGAAAAACACAAACAAUGAAAAUUCCCUUUUACUUAAACUAAGACAGAUUUUUUUACACUGAAGUUGAUAGAAGACACUCGAAUGCGCAGGAGUGAAAUCUUGACAAAUUAAAGCGAGAACUAAGACAUGCUAGUCCUUUCUCGCGCAUUUAGUUGACAUUAUUUUGCUUUGCAAAUAAAUGCGGGCAUGGUUGAAGGCAUUUUAUCUUUCCGGAAGUGGAUGGAGAAAUAAAUAUAAUUAAAAGGGAUGCGAAUAAUAAAUGCCAUUUUUUUCUGAAUAACGAAGAAUAUAUUAGAAAUAAAUUGAAAUGUAACAAAAUACUUGAAAUAAUUCAAGUGACGGGUUUUUUCUCUGUUAACAACGCGCGAUAGUUCCUUGUCAUGAGCUUCUUAUCUUCUGUCUUGAAGGAAGAAAUUGCAAAAGACGAAUAAAACGAUUUCCUUUACACAUGCAAUCAAUGCUGCUGCCUUUAUAUCUUUAUUAUUCUCGGAGGGAUGACACUGUUGAGAGCCAAAACCAUUACCCAUACUCACUCCUCUUAUAGCCAUGUCUAACUCUCUACAAUAAUUUUGAUAUUGCUGUUCUUCAGUUCUUCCACUACUCAACAAAUGCGAAGGUAUGCGAUGGCUCCACUCAUUCAAGUUGAUUUUACAUUUGUUACAAUCUACUCCCGCCGUUGCUAGAGCCUCUAUGGACAUGUUUUAACAAGGUGAAGGAGGAGCUAAAUAAAAUUCACAAUUUUCCUGAAAGUUUACAGCUUCCAGGAAAUUCACCACCUCUAUAGAAUUGUAAUAACAAGAAUUGUGGUCUCCGUAAAAGAAUUUAUAAGAGUUAAUAUAAAAGAUUUGUUUAGGAGAAUGAAUUUUAUACGGACUAGAAAUACUCAUGAUUAAUUAGUUAUUCAGAUGGUUUAGAAAUCCUCUCGAUAUCAGGAAGCCAUUUAAGAUUCUGAAUUGAGCCUCUUGUACAUAAGCUCAUCAAGGACGGUGUAAGUUCCAGAGGCCAAGUCCAUGUGCACGCCAUUCCCAAGCGUAGGAUAUGCCUUCCGGACGCCUUGUAUGGUUUCUGAAUUCUCAUUUUCCGAAAAAUCAAAAACCCCCCUCCAAGCACAUUCUUUACUUUUAAUUGCUUUGGAAAUUAAGGAUUCGUCAGCCGCCAGAUUCCGCAGUGAUUCUGUUGCAUUGGAUGUCUUCAAUUCAGAAACCUGAGUUUAGAGUCUGGUAAAAAAGUCUGGCGAACUGAUGAGCGGCUCCCGUCAGCCGCAACCAGCAAAUCUCCAGCUAUGUCGAUGACCUCAUCAGUUUUAAGAUUCUUAGCUUUGACAUUGACAGUUGAUUUGUCGUGAGAAAUGCAGAAAGUGAGGUACAAGUGACCCCAAAAAAAAUUUCCGGAGGCAGAGUAUUGUAUAUAAGACUAUGAAGAUCAGUCCAAUGUGCCUGUAAAUAGUUGAAAUUUUCAUCUCUAGCUAGUAUCCGACAGAUAUUCUUUUCCUGAUCUACUGCCCGAUUCUGCACAGAAAGAAAAAUAAAAAAAAUCAGCACAACUUGUGGGAACGUCAGUUGAAAUUAAAGCAAUUCUGUGUAGACACAUACAUUACCUGAUCAAUGGUGAGAGGUAAGGUGAUGUUGUGAAGAAGAUCAGGUUGAUGGAGCCAUGACUUAACUAUUUUCUGGGACAAUGGAUGAAGUGCGAUUCCAGCGCCAGUUGGGUUUCCGGUUGGAGGUCCACGUAUCUUCUCGAUCACCACCACAUCCCAACCUGCUAAAAUAAGCGCUUUUGUGCAUGAUAUCCCUGCUAUGCUUCCCACAACUAUUAUAGCUUUUGGCUUCCGCAUCCCCUCCCUCAUGUCUCUCUCUUCCUCUCAAACACCAGUAUGUGUGACACAAAGGGACGCUCGCGCAUAGAUAUAUUUAUAGACAGGGGAAAACUUCCCAUUCUGAAUUCAUAAAUCAGGAUGAGCCGGCAAUCAUAUGAACAUUUUUUUUAUAUUAUUGUCAAAAAAAUUUUAUACUAUUGUUAAUUUGACUCGGAUUUUAAUAAAAUUUAACAUCUCGAACCAAGUCACUACUCUAGAAAAUUUUUUCAAUCUGAACUUAUAUAUUCCAAUUCAAGAACAAGGUUUAAUAAUGUAAUGACCGUGAAAAUUAUUAAACCAUAUGGUUUAAUAGUGAAUGAUAUUAUACUAUAAAACCAUUUAAUAACUUUUCAAAUUUUAAUAAUAUUCAGGAUUCUAGACUAGAUCAGUACUAUACACACACACAUACACAUGCGGUGUCAGGAAUUAUUUUUAGCAGGCUCUAAGUUUAAAUAAUAAUUUACUUUAAAAAAUAAUUAAAAAAUAACAUAUAUCAAAAUAAAAAUUUAUUAAAAUAUUUAAUUCAAUACACUUAUAGCUGUUCUUGACUUGGUUUUAUAUGUUAAAAAUAUUAAAGAAAAAUCUCAUUAUCAAGGCUACAAAAUAUGUCUUUUUCUAUGUAUAUAACAAAUAUAUCAUUCAACUAUUGUUCUCCCAUUUGAUUUCACAGAUGAUUUUUUAUAAAAUUUAUAGUUGAAAAUGCCCUUUCUACUGUAUCUCUAGUAACUGGUAAAAUCAAUGCUAAUGUCACCAAUAAAUAAACUAAUGAAUAUAAUUUACCCUUCUUAGUCUCACCACAUUGUUAUUUUAUUAUUUAUUUGAAAACUGAUAAUAAAUUAUGAUUAAAUAUGUUCGCAGCAAUUACAAAGUCUUGAUACAAUGUUUCUAUCUCACAUGAUGACGUAACAUCAAUAUCGAUGAUCGCUAAUUAGGGAUUCCAUUAUCCUAUUUUCCCUCUCACAUGAUGAAUAAAUAAACAGCUUUAAAAUCUCGCGUCACCCAAUGUCUAGAAUGUACCCGGAGGCCGCAGCCUCAAAAGUAGUUAAAUUAAAUUCAAACUCUACAAACUCAAUAACAUGAUUACGUCUUAUUCUUUCUUAAUUGAAGUUGAUUUUUCAAGGAGGCAAUUUGUCCCGUCAUAUGCAGCCAAGUUAGAACGAAAAAAUGCUUAAUUCAAAUCUCACGGUCUUGAAGAAAUCUUUCUAGUCAAAAUAAACUCUCAAGUCAGAUUUUUCAAUCUGGCGAUAUGAAAUUUGCCUAAUAAAUCUCUACAUUCAGACAUCACGUUUAUGAAACCCUUGCAUUCAGAAUAAAUUCUUGCGGUAUAUCAAAAAAAAAAAAAAAAAAUCUUGCGGGUAAGGGGGAUCAAGUGCAAGAAUAAAGUUUGAUAAAAAUGAAUAAAAGGAAUAAGGUGAAUGUUUGUUGUGGUUUAUUUAGCAUAUGUUUGUUGUGGUUUAUUUAAUAACUAAAAGUUUUUACAAGUUUUUUUCAAAAUUUUUACUGUUGUUUGUUAGUAUUUUGGAUAGAGAGCUUUUGAGAAUUAAAUAAGUUAUUUUGCAUCUACAAAUAAAAGUGUAAAUUAAAUAAGUUAUUUUGGGCUUUUGGGAACAAAAGUUGUAGAGCAUUUUUCAAGUGUUCAAUUAUCUAACAUACCUUUUAUUUAUUUUACAUUUUUAUUCCAUUCUUUUCAUAGUAUGAUUUUAAAUAAAUUGGUCAAUUAAAGUAAUUUUAUAAUUUAAAUUUUUUAAUAAAAGUUCAUAUUGACAACCAAAUAAUUAAAAUAUUUUAGUAAAUCUCCACUUGAAACAACUUAAUUUUAUUAAAAGCUAGAGCAUAGAGUCAGUGACAACGCAGAAAUAUAAAAAGUUGAUUGAUAGAAGAAAUUAGGUUUCUAAAUAAUAAAAGUUUUGUUAGAAAAGUUUAAAUGAACAAAACUAGUGUUUUGAGCUCCUGUUAUAAUAAUCAUAAAUAUCACGAAUUUAUCAUAAUAAAAAAAAUUAAAAUAUCAUUUUAUAAUAAAAGGAAAAUUAUCAUUCGUAUACCCUAUAUUUGCUCUGUUAUCAAAAAUACUACAAUACUUUGAGAGUGUAUCAAUCGUCCACCCUAAGUUGACGAAAUGUAUUAGCCGACCACCAAACCGUUAAUUUUCGUUUGAAAGUUAACGGAAUUACAGUGAAUUAAUGAUUUUACCCUUGAAAAUUAUCACUUGUAUACCCUUAAAUUCUUUUUUUAUCACUUGUAUACCCUUAAAUGAUCACUUUUAUCAUAUGAAAAGACCAGAUUACCCUUAUGAAGUUAUCAUAUUUAAACGGCAACUAACGAUUUGGUGGUCGGCUGAUACAUUUUGUCAACUUAAGGUGGACGAUUGAUAUACCCUCAAAGUGUUGUAGUAGUUUUGAUAAUGGAGUAAACUAAGGGUAUACAAAUGAUAAUUUCCCAUAAUAAAAUCUCAUAAUCUAAAUAAAGAAACCACAAUAAACAACACCCAAAGCCAAUAUCUAAAAAAAAAGAUAAAAUCAUAAAAUUAAUAGGAAAAAUAGAAAAAUAACCUAAUGCUGAAAAAUGAUGAGGAAAAAAGUAACACUUUUAAAUCGAUCACGGGGCAUAACUAUGCGAGCUAUUAUGUUUGGUUUGUCUCAUUGCAGGCUUCGAAACAGUAUAUUAGAUACCUAAAACGAAUCCCUGUAACCUUAGUUAUGACCUCUAGAAAAUAAUCUGCUCAUCUUACGCAACAAUCCUACAUUAGCUAGCCCAGUUUGGGAUUGUGAUGACUGUUGAAAAUGUGAUUAAAAAAAAAAGUGUUAAAAUGAUGGGCAGUUGAGCCACCAUCUUUGAAUUCAAAGACGGUGGGUGGCUAAGCCAGUCACCAUCAUUGAACAAGGAAAAUGGGUGGGUGCCGCUCAUGCAAAGAAGAAAAAGAGGAAGAAAAGGAAGCCAAAAUUUGGCUAUAAAUAGAGGGGUUCUCCCCGUCAUUUAGGUAUCCAAGUUUUGGCAAGAAAUUGAGAAAGAGAAAUAUUUUUAAGCACGUAGUUAUAUUGAAGGAGUAUUUGACUCUUCAAUAUGGGUAUUACGGGUUUGCUUUGUUAGGGAAUAUUUAUAAGAAUCAUGUAUUUGGGGCUUGGGUGAGAGAAAAUUAUUUAUGAGAAAGUGGUUGUAAAAAUUUUCCACAUAGUGAAUAUUUUUUCUCUGAUUGUCUUUUGACAAUGGCCGUGGUUUUUCUCCGUAUUUGGAGUUUUCCACGUAAAUAUUGCGUUAUGUGAUUGGUGUAUUCUCCAUUUAAUUUUUCUGUUAAUUUGUUGCUUGACAAAUUGCUUGAAGUGAUCUUGGAGGAAGCCUAACAAUGACUUGUGAAAAAAACCGCUUCUAUAAAGCGAAUGAAUAAUCUACUUAUUAAAAUAGUAGCUUGGUGUUUAAUAAAGUGUGUUGUUGUAGUUGCUUUGAGUUUGGAAAAAAAUUACAUGUGUUUGAUAGAUUUUAUUGCGAAUGUGAUGUUUUGUUAUAUAAUGACCAAAAUAAUCAUAAUUUAAUUUUUUUAUUUAUAGAUUAGGAUGCAUGAAAAAUAAGAUGUAAUUGUUUCUUUGUUCAAACACUAAGGGCGUGUUUGGCAGCCCUCAUUAUAUAGUAUUAGGACUCCUCAUAGCAUUAAAUACUUAGAAUAGGGUUUGGCUACAAUGCCAGGCUCUCAAAAAGAGAGCCCGGCUGUCUUUGGCUGCCAUUUGGCAGCCAAAGACUUGGUGCAGCCAAUUAACAAACCGGUUGCACCAUAUUUUUUUUAAAAAAUAUAUAAAAAAUACAAUAUAAAAAUUAAAAAAAUUCAAAAUAUUUUUUUAUAAUAUAAUUAAUAGCAAAAGAUAAAUAAAUUAAAUAAUAUAAUACAAACCCUAUAAUACAGUAUAAUAUAAUGAAAUAAAAUGGCAAAAAAUAAAGAAAUUGAAAAUGAAAAAAAUAGUAUUUCAGGUUUAACGUUAGUUGUUGCAUGUUUGACGUCUUGAUUGCAUGUUUGACGUAAGAUGUUGCAUGUGUUAAAUAAAGCCAAAAUAAAGAAUAUUCCCGAAUAUUCUCGUCCGUUUCAUGUUUGACGUUGAAGUUGCGAACUUUACGUGAUAAGUUGCACAUUUCGCGUGAAGUGUUGCAAGUUUUAUAUUUAACGUCCGUUGUUGCAUGUCGGACGUCACGGUUGCAUGUUUGAGGUAGGCUGUUGCAUGUGUUGAAUAAAGCCAAAAUAAAGAAUAUUCCCGAGUAUUCUUGUCUAUUUCAUGUUUGACGUCGAAGUUGCGAACUUUACGUGAUAAGUUGCAUAUUUCGUGUGAAGUGUUGUAAGUUUCAUGUUUAACAUCCGUUGUUGCAUAUCGGACACCACGGUUGCAUGUUUGACGUAAGCUGUUGCAAGUGUUGAAUAAAGCCAAAAUAAAGAAUAUUCCAGAAUAUUCUCAUUCGUUUCAUGUUUGACGUCGAAGUUGCGAAAUUUACGUGAUAAGUUACAUAUUUCUCGUCAAGUAUUGCAAGUUUCAUGUUUAACGUCAGUUGUUGCAUGUUCGACGGAUGGAGUUCAUAUUUGAUGUAAGGUGUUGCAUGUUUUGAAUAAAGCCAAAAUAAAGGAUAUUCCCGAGUAUUCUCGUCCGUUUCAUGUUUGACGUCGAAGUUGCGAAUUUUACGUGAUAAGUUGCAUAUUUCGCGUGAAGUGUUGUAAGUUUCAUGUUUAACGUCAGUUGUUGCAUGUUCGACAGAUGGAGUUCAUAUUUGACGUAAGGUGUUGCAAGUGUUGAAUAAAGCCAAAAUAAAGAAUAUUCCCGAAUAUUCUCGUCCGUUUCAUGUUUGACGUCAAAGUUGCGAAAUUUACGUGAUAAGUUACAUAUUUCUCGUCAAGUAUUGCAAGUUUCAUGUUUAACGUCAGUUGUUGCAUGUUCGACGGAUGGAGUUCAUAUUUGACGUAAGGUGUUGCAUGUUUUGAAUAAAGCCAAAAUAAAGAAUAUUCUCGAAUAUUCUCAUCCGUUUCAUGUUUGACGUCGAAGUUGCAAACUUUACGUGAUAAGUUGUAUAUUCCGCGUGAGGUGUUGCAAGUUUCAUGUUUAACGUCAUUUGUUGCAUGUUCGACGGUUGGAUUUCAUGUUUGACGUACGAUGUUGCAUGUUUUGAAUACAACCAAAAUAAAAAAUAUUCCUGAAUAUUCUCGUUUGUUUCAUGUUUGACGUCGAUGUUGCGAACUUUACGUGAUAAGUUGCAUAUUCCGCGUGAGGUGUUGCAAGUUUCAUGUUUAACGUCAGUUGUUGCAUGUUCGACUAUUGGAUUUCAUGUUUGACGUAUGAUGUUGCAUGUUUUGAAUAAAGUCAAAAUAAAAAAUAUUCCCAAAUAUUCUCAUCAGUUUCAUGUUUGACGUCGAAGUUGCAAACUUUACGUGAUAAGUUGUAUAUUCCGCGUGAGGUGUUGCAAGUUUCAUUUUUAAUGUUAGUUGUUGCAUGUGUGAUGGGAGGAUUUCAUGUUUGACGUACGAUGUUGCAUGUUUUGGAUAAAGCCAAAAUAAAGAAUAUUCUCGAAUAUUCUCUCCCGUUUCAUGUUUAACGUCCAUGUUGCCAACUUUACGUGAUAAGUUGCAUAUUUCGCGUGAAGUGUUGCAAGUUUCAUAUUUAACGUCUGUUGUUGCAUGUUCGACGGUUGGAUUUCAUGUUUGACGUACGAUGUUGCAUGUUUUGAAUAAAGCCAAAAUAAAGAAUAUUCUCGAAUAUUCUCGUCCGUUUCAUGUUUGACGUCAAAGUUGCAUAAUUUACGUGAUAAAUUGCAUAUUUAACGUGACUUGUUGCGGGUUUCAUGUUUUACGUCUAUUGUUGCAUGUUGGACGUCGCGGUUGCAUGUUUGACAUUAGAUGUUGCAUGUCUUGAAUCAAGCCAAAAUAAAGAAUAUUUCUGAAUAUUCUCGCUUGUUUUAUAUUUGACAUCAAAGUUGUAUACUUUACGUGAUAGGUUGCAUGUUUGACGUAAAAUAUGGUAGGGUAGGUUUAUAUAAAAUAACUAAUUAUAAAAUGAGAGUGCAUUUCAAAAUUCCUUGACAAAUCAAGUGAUAAUUUAUAACUAGACUUAUUUUUUUCAAUUUUUUUUUAUUAAUUAAGUUUAAUUAAGCCAAUCUAUUAAGAAACAAAUGAAAAUAUAUUAAAAUUAAAUUAAAUUUAACUUUUACCCAAUAAAUAUAUUUAGGAAUAUAUCUAAUUAAACUGGUACACAAAUUACAAAUGUUUUCAUGAAAUUACACACAUAAGUUUAAUAGUCUAACUAUUUUUUACAUGAUUGAUAAAAUGAUGGCUUUGGAAAGAACUUGUGAUUCGAAAAGAAAAAUCUAGUUAAUUAUAAUAAAAUUACAUAUCUAAUCCAACAUUUUUUCCUUAUUUUAGUCAGAUAAUAGUUUUGAAAAUAAUUUGAUAAUUCAAGUGAUAAUGUCUAUUCUUAUUUGUUGUAUAAUAAUUUUUUAGGUGCAUUUCAUUUCAUUUUUAUUUUUUUAGAGAAUCUAAUCAUGGUGGAUAUUUUAAAUUACUAAGUCAUGAAAAUUUUGAAUUCAAUUGAAAUUUACAAUCUUUUAUGAAUGAAAAUAUACAGCAAGACAAAAAAAUUGAGAGAUAAAAAGAAAAUGUGGUAGAAAGAAAAGGCAACAUCAAUAUGAUCAUUUUCUAAGAAAAAUUAAGGCAAAAUCUUCCAAGUGAUAUGGUCAAUUUCAAUAAAAUUACAACUUACUAGAGUAAAUCCAUCUACUAAACAUCCAAAGUUCACAACAUAAUAUUUGAAUAUCACCAAUAACAUCCUCAAUCCGAUGAGUUGAGCAUUGGAGGGUUUAUGUUAGAAAAAUCUCCGACAUCCCUUGACUAGUUGUUAUGAACGCAAGCAUCCUUGGAGAAAGAGCUUAAGGUCCCAAGAGCCUAUUCGAUAAGAAAGAUAGAAGUACAAACCGACUCCCCAACAACUACUAAUUUAAGUGUUGGCGUGGUUGUCUAUUCACUUCACAGCUCGACGAGAAUUCAACAUCAACAAAUAUUUUAGAACCUAGUGUAUCUUCAAUCAUUUUGGAUUAAAUUGUAUGACACUUUUUUCUUUUCUUCUCUUUUUUUGUGAAAACAAAUUUUAAUACACUUAUUUUAAAAGAAAUUUGUUAAUGAAAAACAAAAUAAUGACAAUGAAGAGCACUCAUUUAUAAAAAUAAGCUACAAAUAGAAAAAUAAAAUUCAUAUAAGUAGAAUCUCCCAAAAAAUAAAAGCAUUGUCGAAUUGAGUUACAAACUAAUAAUAAUUUCAUCAAAGUUUGUAAACCAAAGAUUGUCCUAAUAUCAAAAAGUUUCCAAUAAAACACUUAUGCCAAAUAAUUUAUAGAACCUAGUAAUAUCCAACUGAAUUCUCCCCUGCAAAUAAUUAAAAUUUUCAAGUUAGUCAAUAAGAAAAAACAGCCAUCAAUCAUAAUAAGAAGCAACAGCAAAUUACACUAAAAAAAGGCAGAAAAAAGCACCAAAACAAAUAUAAACAAGAAACAACAAUUAAAAAAAAAACCCCAAAAUGGCAUAAAAAGAUGCUCAAAGCAGCAAUAAAUUUAUUAAAAAAUACCCUAAAAUAGCAGUGAAAAGUGCUUUAAAAAGCAUUAAAAAAUCCAAAAACAAUAGUAAACAUGCCUAGAAACAGUAGAAAAAAACCCCCUAAAAUAGCAAGAAAACUGCCUAAAACUAGAAAAAAAAUCUAGCAGCAAAAUCUUCCAUUGCCAAAUAAAGCUAUGAAAGAAAAGAAAUAAAAUUCAUAAAGAGUCAAAGCUAACAUACUGACCACUUGCUAGAAAUUAAGCUAUAAAUCCCAAAUUUUUACACAAAUUAGUAUCUGAAACAAGAUUGGUUUGAUAUAUGAUAGUCAAGUAAAAUACCUAUAAAGUAGUACAAAUUCAGCAAACCUAAUGGCUUCACUCCACUCAUUUUCUUAAGACUCCAGUGAUGAGAAGCCGCCAACAGAAUGAUAAAUUGAGGUUUGACAGGAAGCACACAAACUAAACAAGAUACAUAACAACUUUGUUAUCCAUGUUACACCCUAGAACCAUUUCUAGGAAUAUUUGUUAGAAUAGCCACCAUAACAGUUGAUGAACAACAUAAAACAAAGACAACAACAAAACCAACAACCUGCAAAGUGCCAAUUCUUCCAUAAUUAAAUCAGAUACACAAUAGAAAUAAUUUACUAUUAAAAUCCCAAAUUCAUUUUAUCUUCUUCCUGCAUUUUCUCAUCAAUCAAACAUAAAAGAGAGCUCCUAUCGACACAUGCAAACAGUACCCACCAUCUUGUCACGUUCAAACACAACCCAAGAUCACAAAAGUUAAUUUUUCAGAUUUAGUUAACCAAAGAAAAUAUACCAUCAACUGGAUCACCUUAUAAAUCAAAUACAAUUCCACGAUAUUACCAACCUCCCAAAAAAAAAGGCACAAAGUUUAAAAUGAAAACAACAAGACCAUGAAAAAUAAGCAAAAGUGGGUAUUUAAAUCAAACAUGAUAGAAUGCAACAAAAGCAAAAAAGCUUUCGAUAGAAGCCAGAGCCAGAUGGGGUACAAGCAAGCUAGGAGGUACCAAUUAAAGAUGCUUCAUUCAAGAACAGAAAAGCUACCAGAAUGAUAAAAAUAGAAAAAAUGAAACAAUAAACAUAAACUUGGGUGAAAGCUGCAACAAUAGUUUCAAUCACUUAACAGUACCAGCAAACUUAUAGUAAACUUUAAGAACUAGAUGUUUAAGCCACAGAUAACGGGGACGUACCCAUGAGGAUAAAGACACAAGCGUGAGACCAGCAAAAAGUCGAAUGAAAAAGGAGGCAACGACGGUAGCGACGGAAACAGCUGGAUCGAAAGCGAACAGCUCAAGAUGAAAGCAACAAGUUAAUGGAUUGGAUUGUGUGCGCGAGAUGUGGCUUCGAUUUUAUUUGAUUAGUCAAGAAAUCGAAGAGAGAAAUUAGAGAGAAAUUUGUGAUUUCUGAGAGAGAGGCAAGAAAUUGAGAGAGAUUGGGCACGGUUGAAACACCUAAAUUACAAAAAUAUAAAUUUUGCAGCCUUUGGGAACUGGUUGCUUCGGUUGCCCUUUUUUUGUUUUUUUUUUCUUUUCAAUGUCAGCCGUUGGAUUCAUUUUACUUGAAUCCAACGGCUGCGUUUACAAGCCGGCACGAUGCCGGGCCUCAAUGCCCGGUAUUGUAGCUUUAGCCCUUAGAAUAUCAUGUUUGGUGACUAUUCCUCACUGUAUUUUUAUGUGGUCAAAAGAAGCUUGUAAUGCGGUCAAACCCGCAUAAAAUAAACUCGUGUGAGAGUCGGGUUUAUGCGGGUUUGUAAUUGUUUUGAGACAAAAAAAAAAUUCGCUUUCAUUUUCGUUCUCCUUGUCUGUGUAGUGGCUCGCCUGCACCUCCACACAUCCACUCCACAAAUCUCAACUCCACACCACCACUGCCUCAAACACCACCAGCUCCAUGUGAUCUGCCUUUAUACCGUCACUGUCUCACGACACCACCGUGACACCACCAGCUCCAUUGUCUUCCCGAUCUACCUCCGCGACGUGCGAGACCGCUGCGCGGCAUGCCUUCGCGACACUCCACCACCAUGCUCCACUGCCUUCAUCAUGCCGUCGUGCCUUCGUCAUUUUUGAAACUGUGAGGGUCUUAUCUUUGUGUUAGUAUGUUAGAUCAUGCAUGCUUUUUUUGUGCUUGGUUUGAUUAUUAUUCUUUUAGAAAAAGGAUCAUUUGUUGUUUUUGUGAUUUACUUAGUUUCUAAUAUAUCUUCAGUUAAGAAAAUAGAAUGGAGUCUUCUUGUUGCCUUUAAAUUAAAUUGAUAUUUUGUUUGAUUAUGUUAUUGUGAGGCUUUGAUUGAGAUUUUGUUACUUUAUGUUGUGAAUGGAUGAGUUUAUAGAUCUAUGCCCGACAAUUGUUUGAUGAAUUGUCUAAAAGAAAAAGAAUUUGGUGCUUUGCUUCACUAAUUGUGGCCUAGAAAUUAUUACCACAUGUAGAAGUAUUUCCAAUCCGUAGUUGACUUUACAUUAAGAAAAAAUUAUCCUAAUUGUUUGGCUAAAGUAUUUUUGUGGGUGGAUUUUUGGCAAAUGUAGCUUCAGCCUUCAUGUGUAAACCAAAAAAAUAAAUAAAUAAAAUCUCGCAGGAUUGUACUUCAUUAAUGCAAUACCAAAGCACAAGAUGAAGCGUUAUUGUCUGUGAAUGGUUAUUUUUGGAAUGAAACAGGUGGCUUGUAAAAUUUGCAAUUAUUCUUGACAACUAGUACUUUCGAUUCUGGAUUUGCAAAUUAAUAGUAAUAAACAUCAUGUAAUGGUAGAGAAAUUAAUAUUGAAAAAGGAACUUGAAAAUCAUUAAGAUGAAAUCUUAUGAAUUUACUUUAGUUCUUGAAAGGAAGUAUUGAGGCAAAACAGAAUUAAAGAACAGAGCUAUUCUAGAGCCAUUAAAUUUAGAAAAGAACCAAAAAAAAAUUAAGUUAAUGAUUAGAAGAAACAACGAUCUGAUAUAAAGGAAUUUGAAAUUAUAUUGAUAAGAAACCAAACUUAUCUUUUUACGUUAUGACCUUGUGCAGUGUCACCAUGGGUAACUUUUUUAGCAUAUGUAUGGCUUCCAUUGCUGACUUUGCUGUCAUGAUUUUGCCUCAGUAUUUUGUUUUACUACUGUUUUGAUUCUUGACUUAUUCUGCUUUUGGUCAUAUCUGUAUGGCUAGAUAUUGCAUUUUCUCAUCUUUGAGGAUGCCUUCUUGCUUGACAACAAACUUUUUCUGCUUCUAUUACUCGAAUCUAUCUCGUUCAAGGAUCUAAUGGCAAAAAAUUUAAGACCUCUAUAUUUAGUUUUUUUAAGUACUAAUAAAUAUUAUUUUAUAAAUAUAUAAUAUAAAUUAAUCACAAAAAAUUAAUACAGUACAAUGCAACACCAAACAUAGUAUAACUAAAAAUUAAUACAGUACAGUGCAACACCAAACAUUGUACAACAUUGUUAUAAUACAGUGUUAAUGCAAUACAGCAUAAUAUAAUACACCAGCAUAAAAAUAAUGUAAUACAACAUAAUACAAUACAGUGUGUCAAACGCACCCUAAGGCUAUAAUAGGAACUUAAAAAAGGUGUGGUGUCUUAUUUGAUACUUAUUUAUAAAUAGCAACUGUACAUACUUUGAAAAGUUACUGUAAAAAAAAAAAGAAACUUAUGAAAUAAGUGGCUUUUAAAAAAUUUAUCUAACACUAUUUAUUACUAUAAGAGAGCUCUAUAUAUAUUAAAUUCUUUUAGGUAAAUUAAAUUUUGCCCCUUUGAUUUUGAGGUCUGGCUACAUCACCGAUUGAAGCUUGUGAUUUUUUUAUUUACUAGUGCAUGAAAUCUUUAAUUUUGUUAAUAUAUUAGUGGCAUCAAUGAAUUAUUCUCUCUUUCUCUCUAUAUAUAUAUGAGAAAGGUGAUCAGGUCUGCAACUAUAUAUCAAACUCCUAGAUUUUUUUAAUCUUAAUCUUCAAUGAAUUAUUACUAUAAGAGAACUGAUCAAGUGCGUGGCUAUAUAUCAAACUCCGAAAUUUUUGGUAUUGUAGGCAGUUUUGAUCUUAAUCUUUGGCUAAGGGUAUAAUUGGGAUUGCAUUAGCUUGGUAAAUAAUCUAUCCUCAUAUAAAUUCUCCAAUAACUAACUUUGCAAAUAAUUUGAUGAGAUGUUUGGUAAAAUUGGAUUAUAAGGUAGGGAUGGCAAUGGGGAGGGGACCAAUAUCCCCAUACCCAUCUCCGAUAUUUUGCGUAUGUCCCCGUCCCCUCUCCGUCCCCGUCCCCGUCAGAAUUACUUGAGAGAAUCCUCAUCUCUUCCCCGAAUAAUAACAGGGGAUCCCCGAGGGUCCCCGAUCCCCGAAUAACUAAUAGUCUAAUACAUUAUUUUUAUUUUCGUUUUUAAAUUAAUCAUAUUAAAAUAAAAAAUUCAGAUAAAAAUAAAGUUCAAAAUAUAUCUUACAUUAAUAUUGAUCCAUUACAAAGUCACAUUCAAAAUAUAAAUUAUUAAAAUAAUUAUAAAACAAUGAAAAUAAUAUAAGUAAAGUAACUUAUAAGUGCAAAUAUUAAUAACUGUAUAAUAUAAUCACAAUGUAAAAUAAACUCAUACUGUUAUUGUAAGCUCGUAACCAACUUUGACAGCACAUUAAGGCCUCCAAUGUGCUUGGAUGAAGUUUGUUACGAUGUGGGCUCACAACUCUACCACCAGUACUAAAAGUUGAUUCAGAAGCAACUGUUGUAAUUGGAAUUGCCAAAAUAUCUCUAGCAAUUCGAGCUAAUGUAGGAUACCUAUUAGCAUUUAAUAAUAUAAAUAUUUUGAUAUUUAUUAUUUUUAACAAUAUUUAUAAUUUUAUUAUUUAUUUAUUAGUAAUUUUAAAAAUAAAAAUUAAAUUAAAAAUUAAAAUGGGGAAAUAGGUAGGGGAUGGGGAUUCCACCUCAUCCCCGUCCCCUCCCCGAAUAAAAAAUUGGGUAUAAAAUUAUCCCAGUACCCUCUCCGAAUGGGGAAAAUCCCCGAAGGUACCCGUCCCCGUGGGGAUUUUUGCCAUCCCUAUUAUAAGGAAAUCAAUUAUUAAAUAAUUUACUUAACAUGUUUGUCGUAUUAAUCAAAAAAUUGUGUUGUGUGCAAAUUACCAAGAUGGACAAGUUUUCUUAUAUAGUAAUAUAUAAUGAUAAUUAUGACGAUUUAUUNNNNNNNNNNNNNNNNNNNNNNNNNNNNNNNNNNNNNNNNNNNNNNNNNNNNNNNNNNNNNNNNNNNNNNNNNNNNNNNNNNNNNNNNNNNNNNNNNNNNAAUUUCUUUUUGCAUUCCAUUCUUUGUUGAACUAUUUAUUGCACGAGUGGAGGACGAAUUCUAAAUACAUUUGAAAUAAUACAAUCAACCAAUGCAUGCACACCACUUGUAUGGAGAUUUUUCAAAAAUAAAUGCACACAUGUCAUAACAUUAUCUACUUGUUAUAUGACUGGCAUGAUAUUUUUUAUGUAUUCUAAAAUUUUUCUGAGUGGAGACCAUGAGUGGUAACAUCCACGUGACAAAAGAGUAUUACAAAGAGAUAGUCUCUUGUCAAUUUGAAUAUUUAUUGUAUUGAAUCUACUAAGUAUAUAAGCUCGGACAACCCUAAUUUCAUGAUGAGGGGUUAAAGACAAUACUAUUCUAAAAGAAAAUGGAACGAAAUUGUCCAUCCAUAGCCAUUAUUUGACUUUUAGAUUUGCCCUUCCAAAUUUUAACAAAAUGCGCAGACGAUUUUUAAUUUAUUCAUGUGAACGAAGUACAACCAAAUUAUUGAACCAAUCAGAACCAAGAUGGAAAUGAUCAUAAGCAAAAGCAAUUUGCAAGGACGAAUGGAAGCAGAUAAAUUAUUCUAAUUAAGAGACUAAGUGCAAGUGAAAUAACUGUAGCACUGAUUAUUCGAGUAUGGAGGGAACGUCGUCGAAGAAGGGUAAACGUCUCUGUUUCAGGAUUUCACAAUCCUCAGGACUUGCUGUGUUUGGAUCAAAAGGCUCACGAUCAGGGGUAGGUAAGCCGAGUUUUAUUUGACCCACUCGCCGCGAAUGCAGGACUUGCUUGGUAGUGACAGGUAGCCUAACAGAUUGAUGUUCUUCCAGAGCUGAAUGUAAAUUUUCUGGCCCCCACCUCUCAAGGCAUUUACCUAAAACUGCUGCAUCAGCUAUGGCCAUGUUUGUGCUUCUUGCACAGUGAGGGGUUAUGGGAUGAGCCGCAUCUCCAAUUAAGACCACAUUGUCCCAGUAUAUUAGUGUCAAAGGGUCACAAUCAUAUAUAAGGUUAAGGAAAGGCUCCUUUGUUUCUUUUAUUACUCUUGCAAACUCAGGAACCCAAAUCUUCUCUGCUUCUUGGUGCAUCUUCUUGAUCAUGUCACUGCUCACUUUCAUUGUAGCUGAAUCUCCCUGAAAUUACUUAAUCAAUUUAUUAAAGCUAGCUCUGCUAACACGUAUGUAUAUAAAUGAUAAAAUGAAGCAAGUUAGGCAAUCGCCUUGAGUUGAGGCUCAGGUUGAGAGAUAAACCAAAUCCAAUUGAGCCUCUUGUACAUAAGCUCAUAAAGGACGGUGUGAGUUCCAGGGCCCAAGUCCACGUGCACGCCAUUCCCAAGCUCAGGAUAUGCCUUCCGGAUGCCUUGUAUGGUUUCUGAAUUCUCAUUUUCCGAAAAAUCAAAAACACCCCUCCAAGCACAGUAACCUGUAUACCUGAAAAACAGAAAUGAAAAAUAAACCGUAAAUUUCAAGACAACCGAAAAUAUGAAAAUAUAAUAUAAUUUGUGCAGAAACCUGAGUUUAGAGUCUGGUAAAAAAGUCUGGCGAACUGAUGAGCAGCUCCCGUCAGCUGCAACCAGCAAAUCUCCAACUACGUCGAUGAUCUCAUCAGUUCUAAGAUUCUUAGCUUUGACAUUGACGGUUGAUUUGUCGUGAGAAAUGCAGAAAGUAAGGCACAAGUGACCCCAAAAAACUAUUUCGACAGGUAGAGUAUUGUAUAUAAGACCAUGAAGAUCAGUCCAAUGUGCCACUAAAUAGUUGAAAUUUUCGUCUCUAGCUAGUACCCGCAGAUGUUCUAUUCCCUAUCUACUGCCCGAUUCUGCACAAAAAGAAAAAUAAAAAAAGUCAACGCAAGAGCUCAAAUUAAAGUAGUUCUGCGUAUAUACGUACAUUACCUGACCAAUAGUGAGAGGUAAGGUGAUGUUGUGAAGAAGAUCAGGUUGAUGGAGCCAUGACUUAACCAUUUUCUGGGACAAUGGAUUAAGUGCGAUUCCAGCGCCGGUUGGGUUUCCGGUUGGAGGUCCACGUGUCUUCUCGAUCACCACCACAUCCCAACCUGCUAAAAUAAGCGCUUUUGCGCAUGAUAUCCCUGCUAUGCUUCCCCCAACUAUUAUAGCUUUUGGCUUCCGCAUCCACUACCUCAUGUCUCUCUCUUCCUCUCAAACACCAGUAUGUGUGACACAAAGGGACGCUCGCGCAUGGAUAUAUUUAUAGACAGGGGAAAACUUCCCAUUCUGAAUUCAUAAAUCAGGAAGAGCUGGCAAUCAUAUGAACAUUUUUUUAUAUUAUUGUCAAAAAAAUUUUAUACUAUUGUUAAUUUUGAUAAGGACAAGUCACAAGCAACAAAUAUGGUAGCUUGUACCGCCAUGGCAAGAGGAUUUCCAACAUCUCGUCUAAGCCAUAAUUGAUGGAAAAUAUAGCAACACAUGUCAUGGUGGACUCAUCACAACGGCUAGUUGAUUAUUAUAAUUAUUGUAAAUAUUGUCUUUCCUUGUACAACAUCUUGAACGUCUUUAUAUAUUUGUAAAAAUCAAGAAUUGAAAAAGUAACAAAAACAAUUCCUAUUUUCACCAUAUUCAAGCAUCUCAAAUAUUUUCAUGGUAUCAGAGCCUAAUGGCUUCAAGUUCAAAUUCAGAACCAUCCCUAUCCCUUCAAUCUUUCCAUCAGUGUUCGAGUUUGGUUCCAAUAAAACUCAACACUGAAAAUUAUCUUAUUUGGAGUUCUCAAGUUCAACCACUUAUAUUUACCCUUGGGCUAAAUCACCAUAUAGUUGAUGUUAAGACUCCACCAAAGAUGAUAGAGCAAGAUGGGAAGGAGAUAAAUAAUCCAGAUUUUCUCAUGUGGAAAAAUAAUGAUGGACUUCUCACAACUUGGCUCAGAAGUAUGAUGAACGAAGACGUGUUGAGCAUGGUUAUCGGCUUGCAAACGGCUCGAGAAAUCUGGCUCACCGUUGAAGAAAACAUGCUGCCUGCAACUAAGGAGCAAGAAACAUGGCUAAAAGAUAGCCUUUAUUCUCUAAAGAAAGGAUCUUCCAAGCUUGAUGAAUUUCUUAAGAAAUUCAAGGGCCUUUGCGACAAGUUGGCAGCCAUUGGAAAACCAAUGAAUGAUGAUGACAAGAUUUUUCAAAUUGCAAGAGCCUUAGGUCCCAAAUAUGCUGACUUCAAAACUGCAAUGCUCACUAAACCUCCAUAUCCCAGCCUUAAACAAUUCAUCAAUGCUCUCCAAAACCAUGAACAUACUGUGAUCGUAGAAAAAGAUGAAUAAGCUAGACUUGGCACAAAUCAAAACCAAGCCUUCUUUGGUCAACGCGGAAGAGGCAGAAAUCAAAGAGGUGGAAGACCUCCAUACCGAGGCAGAGGAUCUCAACGCAACUCAGGUGGUAGAAAUUACCCCAACAACUACAACAAUUACAAUGGCAACAACCGUAAACCACAACAGCAGCCUCAAAAACCAAAUAAAGAAAAUAAUACCUCAGAUGAAGAAGUUAUUUGCCAAAUCUGUCACAAACGCAAACAUAGUGCUGCUGAAUGUUGGUACAGAUACAACUAUGACAAUGAAGAGGAUCCACAGGCCCUAGCUGCCAUGAAUCUUCAAGAAAAUAAUGAUCAACAGUUCUAUGUGGAUUCUGGAGCAACAUCACACAUGACAAAUAACACAGGUAAUCUUGAUCAUGUAAGGCCGUAUAGAGGUAAUGACAAAAUAAUUGUCGGCAAUGGUCAAGAUUUAAAUAUUUCACAUAUUGGUUCUGCUUCUUUAAAUACAAAUCAUGGUUCUUUACACUUAAAUAAUAUUUUAGUUGUUCCAAAACUCAAAAAGAAUCUCUUAUCAGUUGGACAACUCAUUGAUGAUAUUAAAUGUGUUUUUGAAUUUAACACUGAUGGUUUUAUUGUGAAGAGCAAGGAAAACAAGGUUCUGGCAAAGGGGAGUAAGCAAGGGAAGCUAUACACAUUGGAAGGAGACUUUCAUGCUGCCUUCAACGCAAUUCAAGGAGAAUCUAGCGGUUUUAGUUUAUGGCACAAGAGGCUUGGCCAUGCCAAUCCUAAAAUCUUGGAGGCCUUAAAACGCAAUGAUUUUAUUGACUUUUCUAGUUGGUCUAAAGCACCCCGUAUUUGUGUUUCUUGCCAAUUAGGCAAGAGUUGUAGGAAAUCUUUUAAUUUAUCUAAUAAUAAAGCAGAUUUUCCUUUACAAAAAGUGCAUUGUGAUAUAUGGGGUCCAGCUCCCAUUACUUCUACUCAACAUUUUCGUUGCUAUGUAUUAUUUGUAGAUGAUUAUUCACGUUUUAGUUGGUUAUAUCCCUUAAAACAAAAAUCUGAUUUCUUGGAGUGCUUCUUGAAAUUUCAGAAACAAGUUGAAAAGCAAUUGGACAAAAAGAUCACAAUAUUUCAAAGCGAUGGAGGAGGGGAAUUUAAUUCUACAGCCUUCAUCAAACAUCUUGAAAAUUGCGGUAUCACAAGACAAAUUUCUUGUCCAUACACUCCGGAGCAAAAUGGUGUUGCCGAGAGAAAGCAUAGACACAUCAAUGAGACAGCCUUGACGAUGAUGUUUCAUGCUUCUUUGCCACUCAAAUUAUGGGUGGAUUCUUUUCUUGCAGCCACUUAUAUCAUUAACAGACUGCCUCUUUCACCUUUAAAAAAUAAAAGCCCUUAUGAAAUUCUUUUCAAAAAAUUACCGGACUAUAAAGGGUUAAAAGUCCUAGGUUGUAGAUUUUUUCCUUAUCUUCGGGAUUACUGUAAAACAAAAUUUGAUAAAAAAUCAUAUCCAUGUGUUUUCAUAGGCUAUAGUCCCCUCCAUAAAGGAUAUCGUUGUCUACAACCUGAGACUAAUCGUGUAUAUAUAUCAAGGCAUGUUGUAUUUGAUGAAAAUUAUUUACCAUUCAAAAACUUAACGUCAUUUUUUAAUGUGCAGGAACAUAGUACAUUGACCACCUUCCCUCAACAAGAUGAGUGGCUCCCAAAGAAUUCUCCCAAUUGUGAGAAUCUUAAUGAUUCACAUGCUGUCAAAGUAAACAAUUGUAAAGGCGCUACAAUAUCAACACCACAUGUGCAAUUCAUGCCCCACAAGCAUGUGAACUUGGACAACAACUCAAAUGUUACUUCUCCAAUUAUUUCAAAUUUCCCACAAGAGAAUUUAGAGGACAAUUUGAAUUCAGCAACUCCACACGACAAGUCAGAAGCAAUUCCAAAUAUUUUGGAGUCUCCACAUGCAAUGCAUCCUUUGACUACAAAUGAUUCAAAUUCUAGUAGUUCACAUGCAACUGAACCACCUAAUUUGUCCAGAAAUACGAACAACAGCCCUGCCACAAAUUCACAACCAGAUUAUCCUGACAUAUCCAAUCGCUUAUUUGUGGAACUUAAGAUACCAAACACAGCUGCGGAACCGCAAAGCCUAAAUACUCAUCCCAUGAUGACACGCAAUAAACUCAAACAAAAUCCUAAAUUAGCCCUUCAAGCCAGCCACAGUAGAGAAAUUGAACCUAAAACACUCAAAACAGCCUUAAAGAAUCCACUUUGGACUCAAGCUAUGAAAGAAGAGCUUCAAGCAUUGCAUCAAAAUCAGACAUGGGUCCUUGUGCCGCGGCCUAACAAUGUUAAUGUCAUCGGAUCGAAGUGGGUAUAUCGUAUCAAAUACAGAGAAGAUGGAACCAUUGAUCGCUAUAAAGCUCGAUUAGUUGCCAAGGGAUUCACACAGGUUCCAGGAGUCGACUUCGAUGAAACCUUCAGUCCCGUUAUAAAGGCCACAACUAUUCGCCUUAUCCUUGCAAUUGCUGUGAGCUCAAAAUGGCUUAUCAAGCAGCUAGAUGUUCGCAAUGCUUUUCUUCAUGGACUAUUAAAGGAGACUGUCUACAUGGAGCAGCCUCCUGGGUUUCGCAAUUCACGUCAUCCAGCAUAUGUUUGCAAGCUUAAAAAAUCGCUCUAUGGCGUGAAACAGGCACCUAGAGCGUGGUUCGAGUGUCUUUCUCAAGCCUUAAUUUCUCUUGGAUUUUCUAGUAGCAAAGCUGAUAGCUCUUUAUUUAUAUUUAAUAACAAAUCCAUUCUUAUACUUAUAUUAAUUUAUGUUGAUGAUGUGAUCAUUACAGGAAAUAAUGAGAAGGAAAUUCAAUCAAUCAUCAACAAUCUGAGCUCAAAGUUUGCUUUAAAAGAUCUUGGCAACCUACAUUACUUCCUAGGCAUUGAAGUUCAACAAUUCACGCAUGGCAUCUUUCUAUCUCAAGCGAAGUACACUAAAGACCUUCUUUCCAAGGCAAGAAUGCAGGAUUGUUCUCCUAUCAACACGCCGAUGGCUAUACGAUCAAUACCGUGUUCGGAUGAUAAUGAACCUGUGGAUGCAACUGAAUAUAGAGGCCUUGUUGGAAGCCUUCAAUAUCUCACCUACACAAGGCCCGAUAUCACAUUUGCUGUCAAUCGAGUCUCUCAACACUUCCAAGCACCAACAAAAGCCAACCUCAAGGACGUGAAAAGGAUCCUUCGUUACCUUAAAGGUACCCUUGACUUUGGCCUUAGAUUUUUGUCUCAAAGCUCUCUCAAGCUCUAUGCCUUUUCCGAUUCCGAUUGGGCUGGAUGUCCGAUAACAAGACGAAGUACAACAGGAUUUUGCAUUUAUCUUGGAAGCAACUGUAUCUCUUGGAGCUCCAAGAAACAACACACAGUCUCUCGCUCAAGUGCCGAAGCCGAAUAUAGGUCCAUGGCCUCUGCCGCUGCCGAGUUAACAUGGCUCACAUAUCUCCUUAAUGACAUUGGGUUCUGUAUUCCGAAAGCACCCACACUUCUCUGUGACAAUUUGAGUGCAAUUCAUAUGACUAAGAACCCAGUGUUUCAUGCUAGAAUGAAACACAUUGAGCUUGACGUGCAUUUUGUUCGUGAGAAGGUUGCUAAAGGGUCAUUAUUUACACGAUAUGUGCCUUCUCAUCUUCAGAUUGCAGACACUCUUACAAAACCUUUGGGGAAGCAUCAAUUUCUCACGCUACGAACCAAGCUAGGCGUUCAUCGCAUGUCACUGCCUAGCUUGAGGGGGGCUGAUAAGGACAAGUCACAAGCAACAAAUAUGGUAGCUUGUACCGCCAUGGCAAGAGGAUUUCCAACAUCUCGUCUAAGCCAUAAUUGAUGGAAAAUAUAGCAACACAUGUCAUGGUGGACUCAUCACAACGGCUAGUUGAUUAUUAUAAUUAUUGUAAAUAUUGUCUUUCCUUGUACAACAUCUUGAACGUCUUUAUAUAUUUGUAAAAAUCAAGAAUUGAAAAAGUAACAAAAACAAUUCCUAUUUUCACCAUAUUCAAGCAUCUCAAAUAUUUUCAAAUUUGACUCGGAUUUUAAUAAAAUUUAACAUCUCGAACCAAGUCACUACUCUAGAGAAAAAUUUCAAGAAUAUAUCUGUUGAUUCCGGUAGGGCAAGAGUCUCAUGCACAAGUUUCUCAUCUAUUUUCUUACCAGAACAAAUUUCUAGUCAAAAUGAGGGUGUGAAAGGAAGAUAAAUAGACGAAAUUUGGCCCACCACUUCAUUCUUCCUAAAUGAAUAACUUUUUACCCUAUUAAACGAGGAAAAAUGGAUUAGAUUCUCCCUUAAUUUGAUCUGAUUAGUGAUUACUAAAUAAAGACCACACGCUUUAUUGUAGUGUGUUUCGUCAUUUAAUACAUUGAAGUUUGUAUGUUUUUAAAUUGGCCCUAGUUUUAGAUCACUUAGUUGGAAAGGGACAUCCUAUAUUAUUUUUAAAAAGCACAUCCUAUAAGACUCCAACAGAUGGAGUCCAAGUUCUAGAAUAGAUGAAUAAAUGAUGUCAAUUAAAUGGCAAUAGCCCACCAAAGAAGACAAAGAAAACAAGUUAGGAGAGAUUCUAGGGUAUACCAAAAGUACUACACUUAAUUAAUACAUAUAUGCUAUAUGUGUAUUUAUUUUAAAAAAUUAUCAUGUAAUUAAUAGUUAUAUUUAAUUGAACUAUACAUAUCAUACAUGUAUUAGUUAUAUGUAGCACAUAUAUUAUACUCUAGAAUUUCUCACAAGAUAAUAUGUCAUUAUACCACAAAGUUUGAAUCCUAUGAAAUAUGUUUAAAAUUGACUCUUGUAGAAAUUUUUAUGUGGUAGUGAAAUGAUUAUGAUAAAUAAUAUAUUAACACAUGCCAAUAUAUAAUUAUGCUACAUCAAUUAGGGUACCAUUGGUUUCACUUUUUUAUUUUACGUCUUAACUUUUGUAUUGACAAUAUUAGUUUUGUAUUAUAUAUAUAUAUAUAUAUAUAUAUAUAAUUACUAAGUUAUUUUUUGCAAUCAAUAAAUAUCUAAUAACUCAAUACUUUUACAUUUAUGCUCAUAAAAUUUUUACUUAUUAAAUAAAUAUUAAAAUAUCUCAAAAAUAAUAAACUAUAUUUUUUAACACGAAUUAAAACAAAUAAUUUUCACAUUUAAUCUUGUUUUAGUUUAUAAUAUGGACCAUUCAUUCACCACUUGGCAUAACUUUAUAACCUAGGUCCUGUUUGGAAUCGAAGUACUAUACCUUUUAAGUUACAACUGUCGUAAAAAAAAUUGUAAUUGUAAAACAAAAAAUUAAUAGCUGUGAACUUAAUGAUUGCUUACUAAAGUUUAGGCAUUUAUUUAUUAGUUAAUUGUCUAAAAUUUACUUGUGAAUGUUAUUGACAAUACUUAUGUAUUGAUUAAAAAGAUGAAGUAAGGCAUUGAUCUUAGUAAUGGUGAUUUACCUUCAAUAGAAAUAUUUUAUACUAGAUUGACAUAUUUGUGUAUUUAUUUUAAUGUUAAAACUUUAAUUUCUCAUUUACACUGAUAAAAUUUAGAAAUGGGUAUUAUAUGUAGAUUGUUAAGCUCCUAUUAUAAAUUUAUAGUUUGACUUAUAUAAUUUAAUUUUUUUGUGUUUUUAAAAGUAUUGUUUCAAUAUUUGUGAAGUAAAAACCCAUUGCAGGUUACGCAAGGAUUUAGUAAUUGUUAAAACCUACAGAGGGUGAAUUUUUUUUUUUAAAUAAAAAACCAAUAGCGAGUUAAGAAUUUACUGAUUUAAUUAUCUUUUACAAGUGCAUGUUUGAUAAUGAUAAAAUCACUGCACUGAAAGAAAUUCUAUGAAAAAUAUAAUUCUUGUUCUGUAUUUUUAAUGAAAUUUUCAGAGUUAUUUAUACAAAAUAAAGACAAAGUAGCCCAUGAAAGCCUUAAUAAUAUUAAAGGAGAAUAAGUGAAUACUUCCUAAACUAUUGCACAAUAUCUUUAUAAAAUAGGAAUGAAAUAUUCCUACAUGAUAUUGACAUUCAAGUGCAAAAAUCGUGCCGGAGAUAUUCCUCGACAAAUAACUUUGAUGUGAGCAAGUCGUGUCACGUGUGGAGUGAUAAACCCGACUUGACCGUUAAUGACUUUCCUUUUGGUAAUCUUGGUCAGCUUGCUUAACAAGUGGUACGCAUAACCCAUCCAUACAGCUAGGCUAGCUAAACAGCAUAAAUAAAUGUAUAACGAUUCUUAUAUAAAAAGCCACCACCCCAAGCCAAAACAAAAAAAAACAAUUGUGCUGAAUACAACAAUAUAAUUUCUUCAGUUAUAUUUACUUGGAAACAAGAGAGAUGAAUACGAAGAAGCAGAAGCCAAAAGCUAUUGUAGUUGGAGGAAGCAUUGCUGGGGAAUCAUGCGCAAAAGCACUUGUUUCAGCAGGCUGGGAUGUUGUUGUGAUUGAGAAAACUCGUGGACCCCCAACCCAAAACCCAACCGGUGCUGGCCUUGGACUCGAUCCAUUGGCUCAGAAAAUUGUUCAGUCAUGGCUCCACGAACCUGAACUUCUUUACAACAACACUUUACCUGUCACCAUUACUGAGGUAUAUAAUAUAAUAUAUUUAAUUUCUUUUUUCCCAGUAGAAUCCAGUAGUGCUUUGAAUUAUACUGAUCUCUUCAAGAUAUUAGUUGCACACGUGUAUAUACAAUGGUGUAUGGUUAAGAUUUGAUAAAAGGAUAUUUUUCUCUGCACAAAAUACAAUUUAGAAUGGAAUCUGAUUGGGAAAAAAAUAUCUAUAUAUGUUGAAUAGAUAAAAUUUAAAUUUGUGUUUAAUUGCAGAACCUAGCAACAGAUGGGGAAAAGAAGAUCAGCUGGGUAAUAGGAAGAGAAGAAGGCACUAAGUAUCUGACAGCAUAUUGGGCUGAUCUUCAUGGCCUUAUAUACAAUACUCUGCCACCUGAAAUAUUUUUAUGGGGUCACCAGUACCUCUCUUUCUGUAUUUCUGAAGACAAAUUAACUGUCAAAGUUAGAGCUAAGGAUCUUGAGACAGAUGAAAUAAUCGAGAUAGUAGGAGAUUUGCUCGUCGGAGCAGAUGGGAUCCUCUCAUCAAUUCGUCCGAGCAUUCUACCUGACUUCAAAUUGAGGUUUGUGCUUGCUUGUGAGUAUCAAUAAAAGUAAUUAAUUUUUGAGUAUUUUGUUUCAUAAUUUUCAAUGUGUUUUUAAUAGGUACACAGGAUACUGUGCGUGGAGAGGUGUUUUUAAUUUUUCAGAAAACGAUUCAGAAACCAUCUUAGGCAUUCGAAAAUCGUAUCCUGAUAUUGGGAAAUGCUUUUACACGAAUAUUGGUUCAGGAUCUCACAUCAUAGUCACUGAGCUUAAGAAAGAGAAGUUCAAUUGGGUUUGGUAUGUCAAUCAACCUGAGCCCGAGCUCAAGGUAACUGCUUACUUUUGUUUCAUCUGUCUAUUUUUUUUUCGGGGGUUCGAGUUGAGUGCUAAAAUCUAAUUUUUGCAAACGAUCAACACAGCUCAGACCAUCACCGGAUCCAUUUUUUUUUUUUAAUUUUCCGGUUUAUCAAUGCAGUAUGACGUGACAUUGGGAAACAAAUUAUUUUAUUCUCUGCAGGGAAAUACAACUUCUGUGAAAGUAAGCAGUGACAUGAUCGAGGAGUUGCACCAAAGAGCAGAGCAGGUUUGGUUACCUGAAUUGUCAAGAUUGAUCAAAGAAACAAGGGAUCCUUUCCUUAAUGCUAUAUAUGAUUGCGAUCCUUUGGAGAAAAUCAUCUGGGACAGAGUGGUGCUAACAGGAGAUGCAGCUCACCCGACAACUCCACACUCUGCCAGAAGCACAAACAUGGCGAUAAUAGAUGCAGCAGUGUUAGGAAAAUGCCUCGAGAAGUGGGGGCCGGAUCAUUUAUACUCUGCUCUGGAAGAAUAUCAAUCCAUUAGGAAGCCUGUAACUUCAGCACAAGUUCUACAUUCGCGACGAUUGGGUCAAAUGAAACAGGGGUUAAGUAUUCCUGGAAGGGAGCGGCCUUUUGAUCCAAAGACAGCAAGUCUAGAGGACUCGGAAUUCAUCCUUAACAAAAAUGUGCCUCUUUUCGACGUUGUUCCUCCGAUUCUUGAUUCAAUUUUUCGUUCUGCUUGAUAACUUCAAAGGACACGGCUUGGUCUGUUCAUUAUGCUAACUAUAGCUGCCUAUAAAUAAGAGGGUUGACCUCAAUUGUGUG